UUUCUUGAACAGGUUAACUGCUUUAAUUGUUUACUUGGGCAAUGGGGUCUACAUUUUGCUGCCAAGGAACAUUCCAGACAUCCUUCUGCGUCCGGAGAAACUUCAUAUUGUCAAAGGCAAAGGAAAACUUCAGGAAGAUGGUGAAUGUUUAGCUCCGCUGAACAAUGCAGAUGUUGAAGAGCAAAUCAUAAUUUCUGAUGCUGAUGAUGAUCAAGGGCAUGAGCAAGAGAACAUGGAACAACCUUUGGAAGCGCAAUUUGUUCGCCGGAGCGACUUUGAAGAUCAUAAGACUCAAAUGAACAAUCUCUUCUAUGAUCUGGCCUCCAAGAUUGAUGUAACACCCCGAUUUCCAGGUGUCACUUUAGUAACCAAAAUAAUCUUUACGCGGAAAACAGGUAAUUUUUUUUUUUCGUUUUCUUUCCUUUAAAUCAAAACGAUAAGGAAGUAAAGACAAACCCCAACAACUAACUAACCGAUAUACAAAAUAUACAUCUGUACAGCCUCAGCUGCACUCCAUGUCACGCGAAGCCGCAGUGACUCCAAAGCAGUGUGCCCGUAGGCAAAUAUAUACAGACCCAGAAGUGUAAGUGAGAAAAUUAUAAUUACAAACCACUAGGAGAAAGUCGGCCUCAAUAUGGCCUAAGCAAAGACCCCUAUGGUCCAACUGACUCACUGUGAUCCCUCAGUAAGAGAACCACACGAAAAGUCAUGCGUCGGAAACCUACCCGAUCCCAAAAGCAAAACGAAUCAGAGCUCUACACAAAACAUGACGCCUGCCUAAACCUACCCUCCCUUCACUGCUCACAUAACCGAGUCCACCGCGAACUGAAGACGGCAAGUUGAAGCUCAGCUCCAUGCGUCGUAAAACUCCUUUCGUCAGACGUCCACGCUCGUCAGUACGGUCCUCCAACUCAAACCUGAUCCCCCCCGAGGGAGAGACCAUAGAAAACCAAACCACCGUCGACAUCUGGCAGCAGGCCGACCGCCCAAACACAAACAUGAAACCAAAGCCAAGGCGCUAGGGUCAACUCACAGAAAUACGUAGAUAUACACUCAACAUGUGAUAUGGGGUAUAGAUAAAUGUUGAUAUAUACAUAUAUAAACAAUCCUAGCAUGUUAUGGCUCUAACAUUGCUUCAAUAAACAAACAGCACACAGUCUCAGUCAGCAUGAAUGUAUGCGUGAAAUGCACAAUAUGAAUCCGGAUUUGUGACGCGUUCCCGUUCGCCACAAGUGAAGCAUUUUCACUAUGGAUGGACCAUUCCCGUUAUCCAUCCUGGAUGAAAUCCAUCCUGGAUGAACCAUUCCCGUUAUUCAUCCUUGGUGAACCAUUCCCGUUAUUCACCGAAUGAUGAACCAUUCCCGUUAUUCAUCAUUAAUGCAAGGUGAACCAUUCCCGUUAUUCACCAUGAUAUGCACAGGUGAACCAUUCCCGUUAUUCACCCGAUUGAAUGCAACGUGGUUAGCCAAACAACGAAUCGCCCUUACCAUGAAAGUUUUUAGCUCACAACCCAAUCUCAACAAACCCAUGAGUUAGUGUCGGUCAAUACAACACAACUCGGAGUAAGUGUCGGUCAAUACAACACAGCUCCACCAACAAGAAUACACAAGGGUCUAGUGUCGGUCAAUACAACACAGCCCAAACAACAAGAGCGCUAAGUGUCGGUCAAUACAACACCGCUCCAACAACAAGAGAACCCAAGGGAUUAAUGUCGGUCAAUACAACACAACCCCAUCAACAAGAGUACGUAAAGUACUCGGUGACUUUCAAUCAUCACCAUAGCUCACCUUAGUGGCUUUCCCCAAUUCCAAUAACUCACAACAAAGGUCGACUUUUCCCCGUCUUUCGUAAAUAUUUUCCCCUUCAGUUUUCCUAUACUUAAACGUUAAUAAAAAUGAUUUCAAUUCAGAUUAGUCAGGUUAUGAGUUUAUUUCUCAAAAUCUAGGUUUCCCAAGUCUUUAGUUUACAAAAUUCUAUUCAUUCUAGGUUUUCCGAAAACCAACCACCCAAAAGAAGUUUCCCGGGGAAAGUCUAUGUAAACCAACAAAUACCAACAGGCUAAGUCUCAAACCCCUCGUUUGAACUUGCCUAGGGUUGCUCAUCCAACCCAAAAUAUCAAAGAUCACCAGAUCAAUGAAUCUCCACUCCGAAGUUGCGUCAAAACGCUCCAUCCAACACAACAUCAACAUCAUAAGUUAUAAAAACAUUCAUAACAAUAAACCAUCAUCAUAAUCAAUAUCAUCGCAAAGCAUAAGUCGAAUUUAUCGACGCCUAUCAUGAAAUCAUAGCUAAUAUAUAUGUAAGUUGCCCUAACCUCGAGCUGUUCCAGCUUCGAAAUCAAGGUUGUCCUCAAACAGUUGCUCUGAAUAUUCCAAAGUUCCUUCAACUGAACCUCGGAGAAAAACAAAGCAGAAUUCAAACAAAAUCGAUUAGUUCGAUCGCAAAACAAUACAUAAACGAUAGACAAAGCAUCAAAGCUUCAGAAUACGACAAACGGGUACGAAAGGACAAGUUUUCGAAAACGAAAAACUCCCCCCCCUUAGGAAAAACCCACGGCCAUAAGGAGAAAAGGGCUUCGGCUCUUUUUCUUCGAUCAAAUCAGUUUACAAGGUAGUUUUAGGGUAAAACUAAGGCAAAGAAACUGUCAGAACAAUUUUCGGACAAUCGGGUCGAAUUACGACUACGCAGGGGCAUUUUGGUCCAAAAUAAAGGCUCAAAACUUCAAAGUUAUCAGUUCUGAAAACAGAUUUGACAGCAACGAUCCUCAUGACAUCCGUGACAACAAAUCCUAAAGGCACGAAGUCAGAUUAUAGCUUUACGACAAUAAAGUUUCGAAAUGUGAGACAAAAAGAGUUUUGAGUCAAUUUUUCAGAUCCUGGACAACUGAAUCGCAAUCAGAGUUUACUGACAGAGUUUUUAGACUCAGGGGAACAUAAGGAACAUAACCCAAGCGAGAAAUCAGAGAAAUCGGACAAUUUUAGAAAAAGCUCAAAACUUAGAGCACAGAAACGACUUCAGAAACGCAACAGAAACAACAAUCAGAGGUAGGAAUCGUGUUAGUUACCUUGAUACCUAGAAGUAGGGACGAACUGCACGAAGAUUGGUCAAGGUUUCGCGAAAAUCUCUCCUCUCCCUCUCUCUCUACAAUUCUCGGCCUUGAUGGGUGAAAAUGGCAAGAUUUUUGCUUUUUCGCGCUAUUUAUAGGCGGGCGAAAUCGCGGGAAAAUGAAAAUUUCGCGAUUCCGAUUUUUGCAGCACGAUCACCGUGGAAUUCUAAGAGAGAUUCUAGCGUCGGAAUUCCAGAACUCAAAACGAAUAUCUAGGAUUUGGGAAAAACGAUAUCGAAAAACUCAAAAGCGGUGUCGGUUAAUCUGCCCCGAAAAACUACUUUUUGCUGUGAUGCUCAGACGACAAAACUCCCUACUGAAGAAAGAUUGGAAAUGUCGAAACAAGUCUGGCAGCGUGGACGGAAUCUUCGUUAGAAGUCCCGAAUAGAAAAAGUCUUCAUCCAUUGCUCGAAAAUAGGGUUUCGAAGCAAAGAAAUUAGCGUCGGCGGACAUCCGAAAAGUGAAACCUAUCGUGCGUACAGUCCAGAGUUCCGAAAUGAAACGCUGGUCGAUGGAAAAAUAAAGAGAAUCUUUAAAUUUUCCGAGAGUUCGAAAUCUCACUCAAAACGUUGCUUUAAGAGCGAAAUAGCCUAUUCUGGACACGCUCGCCAUAAGGCAGGUGUGCAGACGACUCGCACUAGCUCCGAAAGAAACAACGCCACAUUCCUCGAGCAAUUCCUGAACUUUCUUCUUCAUUAAUCUUUCUCAAAUAUCAAACUCCUGUCACGCUUACACUGAUUCCAAGCGUGAGUCGGAAAUUAACUUGUUCCGAAAAUCCGGGUCUUACAAUUGAUCUGCUCCUGCAUCGUUUUGGCUAAUGGCCACUCUCUACCCUUUUAGUUCUAUAUUAUUUAAAUUCCUGACAAUUUGCACUUUAAAUUUCUGAACCUUGUUAUCUUCGUACUUCAGUUAUCCUUAUCGUUCUUAGGAUAUCCUAUAUGCAUGUCGGGUUUCUAUUUGCAUGUCUCUUUUUAAUAAUGCCAAAUGGGGAGAAGAGAGAAAGAGAUAGGAUGAUGGAGGAUAUUGUAGGAUAUUGUGCUUAAUAACAUAAUAACGAGAGAAAGAGAUAAGAUGAUAGAGGAUAUUGUAGGAUAUUGUGCUUAAUAACUUAAUAACUUGUUUUUUAAAAACAUAGCCUACUAAAGUCAGGGGGAGUAACGUAAAAGAAUUUUUUUUGUCACACCCUGUCAAGCUCAAAUUAUUUUGAAACUUUACUAAACUCAGGGGGAGUUUAUUAUUUUAAUUACCUCUUUCUAUAAAAAUUGUCAUUAUCAAAAAGGGGGAGAUUGUUAAGUUCAAACGCAUCAUAACGUUUUUAAAAUCUUAUUUUGAUCAUAACAAUUUUAUAGUAGAAGUUUCAUUGAAAAUUUAUCUACUGAUAACGUUCUCAAUUUCAGGAGAAACUUGGCUAUAUGUCACACGCUUCAACGCUCUAUCAAUUAUUAAAAGGAUAUUUUCCUCAGAAAAUAGAAGUAACUCGGCCUCUUCUGUACCCAAGUGAAGACUCUGACCGUUCAAUGCCAAGUCAUCAGUCAGAUAUAUCAAGAAGUAUUUUGAGCGCCAAAGUCAUAGUUUGAUUACAACCGGUUGUCCCACAUUCAAAUCCAAUGACAACUAUUUGAAUCUCAUUCAAACUAAAACACAUGAAGACAAAUUUACUUCAGCAAAAGGCACGCUGACCAACAAGGGAAAGUACUAGCCGUCAACAUCAAAUUGUCAAAUUGUCUCAUGUCUGAAAAGUAGCCCAAAGUCUAUCACCACCUACUAGCUGACAAACAUCACCUUUUGAGCUAAAGGAUAGACUUGCUUCAGAAGUAACAUUUAAUGAAACUACCAACCAAGCCUUUUGAAUCAACGGUCUGAUAUCACCUUUAACGACUGUCUCAACGGUUGGAUUUUAUCUCACAACGGCUACAACACUAGCAAGCAAGUAUUUAAGACACUCUUGAAGAUCUGAAGAAGAAGAAUCAACUCUGAGAAUUCAAGCAUUUAUUUUCAAACUUCUCAACAACAUUCAAAGCUCAAGAAGAUAUUCCUAAGCGUCAAACACAAGCCAUAAAUUCUGCCAAGUGAAAGAGAAAACCUCGUACCUUAAAAGAGUCAUAUCUUUUUAUUCUCCUGACACCUUUGUAGUAACUCUCAAGUGAUCCAAUAGUCAGAUCUGAACCUAAACACUUAGAGUUUCAGUGCUUUAAAGUCUCUACCUUUACUCUUGAAAAAUGAGAAUCUCCGUAGAGUGAUAUAAAUCUUUGUAAGAUUUUGGAGAAGUCCUGUACAAUACUUAUAGGAGGAGUCCUGCAUAAUACUUGGAGAAGUCCGUGAUAAUACUUGGAGAAGUCUGUGAUAAUACUUGGAGAAGUCAUGUCUAAUACUUGUAUUGGAGAAGUCCUUGAUACUUGCUAGUGAAAAUCUUGGUGGUGGCCAAGUACUGGACGUAGCCCAAUCGUUUAGGGUGAACCAGUAUAACAUUUGAGAAAGAACAUAUAUAAAUGCUUCAAAAUGUAUGCCAAUAGAGAAAUAUAGAUCUAUGGCACAAAUAAUCAUUCACAAGAAGAGUUGUAAUGAAAAUAAAAUUUUUGACUACCCAUUAGAUCUGUUGCAUGUAGUAUUUAAAAACUUUUGAUAUGUAUUUAUAUAUCCACGUGUAUAUCAACUGAUGAAGUAAAUAUAUAUUCACACUAAUUAUCCACACGAGUCAAACGAUUAAAAGUAAAAAUAUUCAGUGAAGUAGGAAAGAUUGAGAAACAAUGCUUACAAUUGUGGGAAUUGAGAGAAAUUGAGAGUGAAAAAAUGUAUGUAAUUGAGAAAUUAAAAAUCUCGAAUCUUUUUCGAUAGAAGAAAGACUGUAGAAACACGAGAACAAGAGAUCGAAGGCAGAGGAAGAAGAAGAAAGUGGAGGAUAAGGAGGAGGAGGAGGAGGAGGAGGGGGAGGAGGAUGAGGAUGAGGAUGAGGAUGCGGAAGAGGAGGAGAAGGAAAAAUAACAAGAAGACAAUCUAUGUGUUUAUUAUACUCCGCCGGUUUCUAUCAAAUGGUUAGAAAGAAAGAACAACACAUUUAUCAAGAAAUCCAACUAAUGUUUUUAUCUUUCAUAGGUUUCAAUCCAAGAGUGAAAAAGAACGCAAAUAUAAAUUUAUCAAGUAAUACAAUUAAAAUAAAUUAUUAGUUACUUUCGUACUUUUUCUUUUGAAGUAUAUACGUAUUUCUCAUUAUUUAUUAUAAUCAUAAUUAAGGGCAUAAGUGGAAAAUGAUUUAAUGCACUCUUAAAAUUUUAGAUGAAUAUAUAUAUAGUUUUCUAUCAUAGUGAAUUUUUUUAAAAGAAAUAAAUGGAUUGAAUUAUUAAAAACAUGGAUGGCCAUAUGGUAUGAUUUAGCUGGGGUGGAUUGUUGCAGGUGAUUGCUCACACUACAAUUGCAAGGAUCAACCAUAAUGUGCUACGACUCUACAAAUACAUCUCGUUGAUACCAUAAAUGGAUGCUUAAACACGAGAUCUCUUAGAUUAUCAAGGAAAAAUUACGAGCCUAAUUGAGAAAGAACAGGUAUAUAAGUUCUUUAGAAUGCAAGCCAAUAGAGCAACAAAGAUUUAUGGGAAAAAUAAAUAAAUAAUCAUUCACAACAUGAUUAAGAAAAAAAGAGUUGUAGUGAAAAGAAAACUUGGACUACCCAUUAGGUCUUUUGCAUGUUUUAUUUAAUUUUAUAUAUAUAUAUAUAUCUAUAUAUACAUGUAUAUCAAUCGAUCCAUCAAUUAUAUAUUCACACCAAUUAUCCUCACGGAUCAAAAAAUAAAAAAUAAAAAAUUUCAAUGAACUAGCAAAUGUUGGGAAAAAAUGCUUACAAUUGUGGUAUUUGGGAGAGUGAAUUUGCUUCGAUAGAAGAAAGGUAGAAGAAACACCAGAAAAAGAAAUAAAAAAAACAGAGUAUGAAUAAUGAGGAGGGUGCGGAGGAGGAGGAGGAUGAGGAUGAGAAGGAAAAAUAACAAGAAGACAAUAGUUGCGUUGAUUAUUCUCAUUCUUCCCCGGUUUCUAUCCAAUGGUCAUAAAGAAAGAGAAACACACUUAUCAAAAAACACACUUAUCCAAUAAUGGUCAUUAAUAUUUUAAAUAUCAAGAAAAACACACUUUGAUGAACAACCCCUGUUCAUGGCCCCUCUGCUGUGUUUUCUUUUAACAAUUCUGGGUGGAUGGGAAGUGAGUAUACAGAGGCCAAAGCACUGUGGGGUUUGGGGAAGGAGAUUGGAGUAGCAUGUGAAGGGAAUGAAGAAGAAAUUGUCAAGAGAUUGCAAGCUAUGGAGGAGAGGGGCGCUGCUGUGGUGAGUGCGCAACAAAGCCAUGUCCAUGGAGCCGGGUACAAUAGUUUUUAAUGUUAUUAUUAUCCUUAAAUGUGAGGGGGCUCGGGAACCCAGGUAAGAGAAGGGUAAUUAGAGAAAUGGUUUGUCAAAAUCAUGUUGAGAUGUUGUGCCUACAAGAGACAAAGUUGGAAGACAUUGAUAGGAGAAGCUGUUGUCAGGUGUGGGGGGAUUCUGAAUUUGACUGGAUCAGUGUUCCUGCUGUAAAUAGAGGGGGGGGGGGGUUUGUUGUGUGUGUGGAAGUGGAAUCUGUUUGUGAUGGAGGAAAGUGUGGUGGGUUAUGGUUAUCUUGGCCUUGUUGGGCAUUGGGGGGAACCCAAUAGAAGUUGUGUCAUUGUUAAUAUUUAUGCUGCAUGUAAUAUUGCUGAUAAGAGAGCUUUGUGGGAGGCUCUUGUAACAUGGCGUCAAAGUUGUUCUAUUGAUAUUUGGUGCCUAGCAGGGGAUUUCAAUGCGGUGAGGACUGUGGAAGAAAGAAGGGGUGGAUCAGGGGUUCAGAACUCACAGAGGAGAGAGAUGUUUGAGUUCAACGAAUUUAUUGCUGCCAUGGGUCUCUUAGAUAUCCCGCUAGCUGGUAGAAAGUAUACAUGGCGAAAGCCAAAUGGGCAUGCUCAAUGCAGGCUUGACAGGCUCUUGAUCACACCGGGGUGGAAUCUGGCUUGGCCAAAUUGUUCUCAACUGGUGCUGAAUAGGGACAUCUCUGAUCACAGUCCCCUUCUCUUGCGUCAGACGUUUCAAGAUUAGGGCCCGAAACCGUUUAGAGUUGUUAAUUGUUGGCUACAUGACCCGAGGAUCAGUUCUGUUGUGGAAAAAGCUUGGAGUGAGGCUACUGUGGGAGGUUGGGGGAUGUUUGUUCUUAAAGAAAAACUAAAAACGACUAAGUGCAGUUUAAAGCAAUGGAACAAAGAUGUUUUUGGGAAUCUGAAAUUUAAGAGGGAGGAAGUAGUCCUGAAAAUAAAUGAGCUGGAUGCAAAAGAAGAAGAUGAGGGUUUAUCUCAAGAGGAGGUGGGCUCUCGGAAAGACUUACUUAAUGAAUUUUGGAGAAUUCUUAAAUUUCAAGAGUCGUUAUUGUGUCAGAAAGCUAGAACAAAGUGGAUAGCGGAAGGGGACCAAAACACAGGUUUCUUUCAUGCAACAAUUAGCUGGAAGAGGCGUGCAAAUUCUCUUGUCGGCAUAUUAAUUGAUGGUUCUUGGGAGGAGAAUCCAGCUAGCAUAAAACAAGAGGUUCAGACUUUCUCUGAGAAUAAGUUCAAGUCUGAUCAGUGGUGUAGGCCAAAUCUGGAAGGGGUUCAGUUUAAGUCUAUAUCUGAGGCAGAUAAGUCAGAUCUGAUUGCUCCAUUUACUGAGGUUGAAGUCAAAGAAGCAGUGUGGGCUUGUGGGGGAGACAAAAGUCCGGGACCAGAUGGGUUUAACUUCAUAUUUAUCCAGCGGUUUUGGGAAAUUAUGAAGAAUGAUUUUUUCAGAACAGUAAAAGAAUUAUGGCCAAGGGGUGUGUGGCCAAGAGGAAGCAACGCUUCGUUCAUUGUUCUUAUCCCUAAGGUAAAUUCCCCUCAAGGUCUCAAUGAGUUCAGACCAAUUUCUUUGAUUGGGUGCAUCUACAAAGUGAUUUCCAAAUUGUUGGCUGGUCGGUUAAAAAGUGUACUUGGCAAGGUGAUAGUUGUUCAUCAGUUUGCUUUUCUUGGAGGCCGAAAUAUGUUGGGCAGCGUAGUGGUGGUUAAUGAAAUAGUAACUACAACAUUUUGGACUUUAGGCAACAUAUGCCUCAGCAACUAAUGAAAAAAUGUUCUUGAAAAGUUGAUCCGACAACGGUUUUUUAAUUGUAGAUAUUUUUCAUACCUACAGUUUCAUAAUUGUUCUUGUAUUAUAGAUGAGGCAACGAUUUAACGUAGUGUAGCCAUUUGACUUGUCAACAAUUGCUUAAAUGUUCUUAGAACAUAAAACGAGUACGGUUUUAUAAAAGUUGAUAUUUUUUUAAAAACAAUUUGGUAACUGUUUCUACAAGCAAUUUUAGGCAACGGUGUUCUAGGUCAAAAGGCUACAAUUGUAAUCUUGUCCUUAAAACUGGACAAGUGCUACACUUGUAAAGUGUAGCCUAAUUAAUAUUCAACGACAAUUGAUGAAACGUUCCCAUAGUUAAAAUUAGGCAACAUUUAUUAAUUUUAAGAAGUAAAUUAAAUCUGGUUUAAGAGAGAAAAAAAACCGCUAAUCUUUCCCGGUUCUUUUUUCUAUUUUUUUUUUCUAAAACGCUAAUUCUUCCCUCCCACGGUUGCCACUCUCUCAAAACCCCAAACCCUAGCCUCUUCUCUCCAAGGUACGACACAUCCUUUCUCUCCAUGGCAUGGCACGCCGUUCAUCUUCCUCUCUAGGGAUUCAAUCAGCGCUCUUCUCUUCACGUCCACCAUUAGGUACCUCUCUUCACGCUGUCACAUUUUCAGGUCUUCAUGUUUUUUUACAUCUUCACCUUUUCUCUUCCCGUAUUGUCCACCAGUUAUCGCCCUCUCUUCACGCCUUCUGAUCACAACAAGCAACUCGUAAUUCACACGACGCUCUCCUCCACAGGUGAUUUUUUCAUUCUCACUUCUCAUGUGAUUCUGAUUUCCGCCUCUUUUCGUUCUGAUUCCGAUUUCCAUCUCUUUUCAUUUAUUUGCAGUUCACCUCUUUGGUUUAAGAGAACGUCACCCAGUUAACUCAAGCUCUUCUCAAUAUGUUAGAUAUCUAAACCCCUUUUAGUUGUAUUCUCUUUUCUCUUCAUUGAAUUUUUAAUUGACUAUUGUAUUUGUAAUUGCUUGUCUGCAAUUCAUGCUUGAAGUUCAUUAUUCAUGUGAAUUUAUCGAUUUAGCAGAAAUCCAAUUUUAUUGUGUUACUAAUUUAAUCUGAUUAUGAUAUUUUGUAACUGGGAACCCAUAUUUUGGCAAAUUGUAUAACACUACCUGUGGAUGUUUAUUGCUUGUGUCAAUUCUUGAAUGCUUAUUGUAUUUAUGUAGAUGUAGAUGAACCGUGUGUUGUUUUUUAUUAUUACCAUGAAGGUUUGAUUUCAACCAUUGUUUCUGGACCUGCGUGAAUUCAAUUGGAAUGGUGGGGCUAUUCUGCUUAGUAUUUUUGAAGGUGGUGGGGUAAAGUUUAGACUUGUUAUGGGGUCCCUGUACAUGUGUUGGUUUUGGUGGGGUGUGCUUAUAUACUAGUUUAUAUUGGUACUUUGUAUCGUCUUUUUCUCCUUUUUACUUUUUUCUUGCUGAAUUUUGAUCAUUGUUUUUGGGUUUGGAGUACUCCUUGUACUCUUUUUAAUAAAUUCUUUCCCUAUAAAAAAAUUGUAGUGAACUUUUUAUUUUUUUAGGAUUCAAGUUCUCAUUUAUCAACACUGGCUCAAAGAAUUGUUCCACUAUCAAAUAAGAGUUGUCUAAUAAGAGGAUAUACUGAUAUACCACCAGACACAGCGCAUGAUACAAUUUUAUAACUUUUGGACUUUGUAUGCACUGGAUUUGAAUGGCACAGAGGGUUUAAUUCAGUCUUACUUAUUCUUCUUGCCACCAAACAAAAUGCGCUGGAUUUGAAGCCCUCGGCUGAAUACUUGGUUGAAUAGCAGCCUAGUUUGGAAUUCUGAAUUAAAUGGGAACCAUGCCAAUAUGGCCACUGGUGUAAAAAUAACCACUCCCAUGAGGUAUUCUGAAAUAUGCUUGAGCUAUCUGAAUAAGUGCACUUUUAUAAUCACUUGUUUGUAGACAAUAGAUAGCAUGUGGCAAAGCUUGACAACUUGCAACUUAAGAAACUAACUCUAACUAACUACUUUCCAAUUAAGUCUAGCCCGUAAUUAACUACGGUCAUGCUAAACUACAAUUAACCCAAUAAUGGCAGUGUUUAAGGUUAGAACUCCCCCUACCACUGUAUCCCAUUCAGCUAAAUUUAGAAGCACCCUCAAAUCAGUGAAUUACAUAAACUAGCUAGGUAGAUUCUUUAGUGAUUCUUCAUGGUAACUGAUCCAUAUUGCUAUAGUCUACUGAUAUCAUAAGUGACACUAGAGUUCGCUGGAAAAACUUUUCAAUCACUCUUUGGUGAAGAAAAAACAGGUAGAGUUCGCUGCUUAGGAAGAACGGUCACACCAACUAUGUUAAAGAGAAAUGAAGAAAUCGCUGCUAUAAAUAAACAACAUUCUCAUGAGAUGAACCAAGUGACUGAGAAGAUGCAAGGGCUUGAAGGGCUUGUAAGAGGCUUGAUGAAGCAAGUCAAUCCAAAUUUGGAUGAUGAAGCUUUGAAUAAUAUAAUGGAAAAUGCUUUACGCAAUGAAAGUAGUGCAGCACCUCGUUCAUCUACAUCAACCCAUAAUCCUAAUUACGAAAAUGUAUAAUUCCUAAUGUCAAUCUGCCUUUUAGUUUGUCUUUGAUUUUCUGAUGUCUUGAAUAUUGAUUUAAUUCUUUCAUUUUGAAAUUAAGUGUUUUCAUUAUGAAAUUAGAUUGGUCUUAAUGUUUGUUUAACAUCCUAUGAAAUCACCAAGCUGCAAAACUUGGUUUAUCUGCAUUAUGUGGAGAGUUUAAAGUGCUGAUUAGUUGAAUGUGGAUUUAGAUAUGGAUUGGUGUGGUAACUAACAGGAUUUUGUGAAUAUGUUUACUCUAUGAAUGGUUUUGCAUAUGUUGAAAAUGAUAUGUUCUUAUAUUAUUGGAGGGUAGGGAUAUUGUUGUGGUUUAUCGACUACAAGUUAGGAAAUUAACUUGUUAUUGUAUGUUGGCGACUUGUUAUUGAUGCGCUACCUUGUGAUAGUGUAUUCAUAGGUGCCUAGUUUUUUUGUUAGUUGCUGGCUUGUAGAGAGAUAAUUGCCCCUGCUAUUUGUGUUUGUGUCCAGGGUGCUUGAGACCCUUGUUGUUGGGCUCUGUUUUCUGGCUUCUUGUUAGAGAGUUAAUUGCCCCUGCUAUUCUAAUACACAUUUUUCAUGUGUGCAGCAAAAUUUGGUUGAUGAAGAAGAUGAACCGCAAGAUAUUGGAGAAGAAUGAUGUUAUUUACGCGCACGUGGAUGCAUUAUUUUGAAAUAGCAUAUGCAAACUUUUGUAAUUUUUUAUUUAGGGAUUAAUAUGGUGUUGGUACUGUUUUUUAAUUGACAUACUUUGAACAAAUUAAUGCAAUUUUAUGUUACUGGUUGAGACUUUUAUCAUACAAUUGUUUAAUUUUUAUGGUAUAAUGAUUACAAAUAAGUUUAUCUUAUUAAUAGAAAUAUUUAUAUAAUCAUCAUAUAUCAUUAUGUCUAAAUAAUUUAUUGUUUUCUACAAUAACAUAGUAGAUGUGCAUGACCUGAAUGGUUUAAAAAAUAUUGGUAAUGUAUAACAUCAAUUCUGCCUUAUCAACCAGUUGCAAAAAUCUUUUCAAAACAAAAAACCAGUUGCAAAAAUAAAUACCAGCCUUUAGAAAAUGUCCCCUAUAACUACAAAACCGUUGCCAAAACUGAAAACUUUGAGUUGUUUGAAUUUGAAACCGUUGCCUAAUAUAUAUAGACUACAUGUUUAAUGCGUAGCUAAAAGAGGAAUUCGUUGCUGUAAUGGAGCACAAGAAGCGUUGCCUAAUAUAUAGACAACAUGUUUAAUGCGUAGCUGCAAGUAAAAACCGUUGCUGUUAAGGAGAAGCAAAACCGUUGUUGGAGUCUGUACCAAAGGCUACAGUUUAGGUGGACUAUUGCCGUAAGAUGCAAAACCGUUGCUGAAAGGUAUCGGCAACGACUUUUUAUGCGACAUACGGAAAACCGUUCUUAGAACCUUCAGCAACGGUUUUUUUGGUUUAGACUACACUUUUCGGACGUUGAUGUAUCUGAAAAAUGUUGUAGUGAGUACAUGAGGAAAAUGUGACGAAGAAGCCAACUCUCUUGUUUAAAGUGGACUAUGAGAAAGCAUAUGCUUCCGUUCUGUGGGAGUUUCUAAUUUAUAUGAUGAGGAGGAUGAAUUUUGGGGAGAGGUGGAUUGGGUGGAUUAAGGGAUGCCUUGAAUCAGCAACAGUUUCAGUCCUAGUCAAUGGAAGCCCUUGUAAUGAAUUCCGAAUGGAGAAGGGGUUGCGGCAAGGCGAUCGCUUGCUCCUUUUCUUUUUCUUAUUGUAGCUGAAGGUCUUUCUGGGUUAUUCAUGAAUACGGUGAAGUUGAACAAGUUUGGUGGCUUUAAGGUUGGAGGGGACAACUCACUGGAUAUUUCUCUCCUCCAAUUUGCAGAUGAUACCAUUUUCUUGGGAGAGGCAAACAUGCAGAAUGGGGUAACAAUCAAAUGUGUGCUCCGAUGUUUUGAGCUAAUAUCCGGGCUGAAAGUUAACUUCCACAAAAGUAAGUUGGCAACAAUUGCAACAGGUGAGAUGGAUUCUCAAAGUUUUGCUUCAUUGUUACAUUGCAAGAGGAUGAGUAUUCCAUUUAUUUAUUUGGGGCUCCCGGUUGGGGGAAGGCCAGAUUUGCAGAAAACUUGGGAGCCGGUUAUCCAGAAGUUCAAGUCUAAGCUAUCUUCUUGGAAACUGAAAUCGAUUUCCUUUGGGGGUCGUAUUUGCCUUAUCCAAAGUGUGUUAUCGGCACUGGCUUUGUUUUACCUUUCUUUUUUCAUAUUACUGAGUAGUGUGGAGAACAUUUGCAAUAGCAUCAUGAGAGAUUUCUUAUGGGGUGGAGGUCGAGAAACUAGAAAGAUCGCUUGGGUGAGCUGGAAAUCAGUUUGCAAGCCUAAGGAGGUUGGUGGUCUUGGCAUUAAAGAUUUGUCAUUAUUUAAUAAAUCGUUGCUCGGAAAGUGGAGGUGGCGGUUUCUUUCUGAACCAAAUAAUUUAUGGUGUCGGAUCAUUAAGGCUAAAUACAUGGGUAGUUCUUCCAUGAAGGCAUCGUCGUGGUGGAGGGAUAUCCAAAUGUCUUGCAAUGAUGAGGAUGGGGACUGGUUUGAGCUCGGCAUUCAAAAAUGCAUGCGGGAAGGUAAUGAAACAAGGUUCUGGCAUGAUGAUUGGGUUGGUACGGGUAAUUUGUGUAAUAAGUAUUAUAGACUAUACAAUUUGUCAAGAAUGAAGUAUGCAUAUGUGAAGGACUGCUGUGAAUGGGGCCAAGGAGUGUGGCAUUGGAAUUUGGAGUGGCGAAGGCCUCUUGUUGGUAGGGAACAGACGUGGUUCAGUUCCAUGAUGGAGGAGGUUAGCAGAAUCCAGCUAGUAGAAGGAGUGCCAGAUAAAUGGAGCUUGUUACACAGUCCGGACGGUGUUUUUUCAGUUAACUCUUUUUACUCGUUUUUGCAGGUUCCUCAAUUGGUAAAUCCGGAUACUGUUUUUAAUUGGAUUUGGUGCUCUGCUGCCCCUUCAAAUGUCAAGGCGUUUGCUUGGAAGCUUGUUUUGGACAGAAUACCAAGCAAGGAAAAUCUCUGGAAGCGCAAGGUGUUACAAUCUCAGGAAGAGCGAAUUUGUCAAUUGUGUUCUGUGCAGAUUGAAACUAGUGCACACCUUAUUUUUUCCUGUCAGUUUUCGAUGGGGGUGUGGCUCGCUUGCUAUAAGUGGAUGGGUGUUCAAACGGUUUUGCCAAUGGGUACCCGUGAGCACUUAUUGCAGUUUAACUUGGGCUGGAAUAAAAAUCAGCAGCAAGGAGCCUUUUCAAUCUGGCUUGCGGCAAUUUGGACCAUUUGGUUGAUUCGAAAUUCUGUCUUAUUCCGUAAUGGUGAAGCUGAUUGUCUUUUGGGUUGGAAUUAAUUCAAUGGCGAUCAUGGCAGUGGCUUAAAGCUAAGAUGCGAGGGUUCAGUAAUUCGUUAUUUGAAUGGAGCUCCCAACCUCUGAUGUGUUUGCAAGGCAUGUGAACACUUGCUGGCUCAAGUUUUGCUGGGGUUUGAGAUCAUUUUUUGCUGGUUUGUUCCUUGUUUUUUGCGUUCGUGUGUCUUGGUGAGUGGAGCUCACAUUCUGCUGGGAGUUUUCUCUAGUUUGCUAGGAGUAUUGUCAUGAGAUGUUUGGGGUUGGUUUAAUCAGAGAAAGAUUGGCUGUUUUUGGCUUUUGUAGGGUAGUUCUAUUAGUUCUUUUCUUAACUGUCUUGUUUUUAUUUUGCUUUAGUGGCUUCUUUUUGUUUUGGUUUUUUCUUGUGUAUUGAGGGUUGGAGUACCCCUUGUACUCCCUUUUAAUGUAAUAUUUGACUUAUAAAAAAAAAACCUAUUCCUACCGGUGGUUGAUUACUUAGUCAUCCCCCUUAGUAUAAGAGCACCUCUCACUUUCUCUAACAAUCACUGCCCCAGUGAUUGAUCCCUUACGAUAAGAGCAAAGACAGAUCUCAAGAUCAAAGGGUUCACAACAAAAACCAUGCCUUGUCUUCGAUGAGCUUUAACGAACAAAGGGUCCACAACAAAAAUUAGGAAGUCAACCUUUUAAAUCUACAACAAAUCUUAUCACAUAAGAUUUGAACAAAAGAUAGAAACUUUCAAAAAAUUAUCUUCAAAUCAAAUUUGCUGAAAACCGAUUUGAUCACACUUGAUAUAUUCUCUGAACGACGCACAUAAGCUCCUUCAACAAUCCUAGCUUGUUGACCACGUAAACAAUCCGAAACUUUUAGAAUAAAUCACUUACACAAACAGCAGGCCCACAAAAAUAAAUGUUGCAUCAAAGAUGCUAAAACAUCGUGUCUCAUAUCUUGCCACACAAAACACACUUAGCUAAAUAUAGACAAUCAUGAACAAAUAAACAACAACCAUAUGCAAUUUGGUUAAAAAAACAUCAAUCUAAAAAAACCUAUGUUUACAUUGGUGAGAAUAUAGUCACUGAAUUCCAGACAAAAUUACAAGUGAUGAUAUGAUAGACUAUUAAAGAAGUGGGAAAAUAUAAAAAAAAAAAAGUGGUUUCCUUGGAGCGCGUGAUGUGCACGCACCAAUUAACAACAAACGUAAUAGAUGUCGCUUGAAGUGUGUUGGUCUUAACUCUGCACACAUUGAUUGUAUGGUCUGAAAGAAACCAAUGGCUACUGCGAAGAUAGGACUCGGAGUCCCGACUCACCGAGUCACCUCCGCGGCAGCUCUUUCCUCCGCUGCGUUUACUCCGCCACCGCCCAAUCAGCACCGCCUCAUCUUCAUCAACGCCCGCCGCACUCUCCGUACUCGCACUUCCUCGCUCACACUCCGAGCCUCCGCUUCCCCCUCCUCCUCCUCCGUGGCCUCACAAGGUUACUCGCACCAUCCACUCUUUCUCUGCAAUUGCAAAUGAAUGUCACUCUAGUUCGAGAGAAGUGAGGGCGGUGAAUUCAAUGCUUGCAUGCUAAUUUUAUAUUUUUGGGAAUUAGUUUUCUCACCACCCAUUUAGAUAUUCUUACCCUUUCGCACUUUCAAUUUGCGGAAUGUGUAAUUUGUGUUCCGCACUUAUAAGUGUGGUGUGUAGUAAAUUUGGGUGGCGAGAAAAUGAAAAAGGUUGGCAUUUAAACUAAUUCCCUGUAUUUUUAUGGUUGUAAAUUUGUGAAGUUUUGGAGAGAAAUGAGGUUGCUACACAUUUUGUUGGUCUGUUCUCGGCCUUAAAAUUGCAAUUUGUAUAUGGAGUAUUCUUGUUGGGGCUAAAACCCAAGAUGUUACUGUUAAUUGAUAUGCUGUGUUGGAUUUGUGGCUUAACCAGCAACUUUUUGAUGUAGAAUUGAAGUGAUAGUAGAAAUUGGGCAAUAGGAAUUCGCAAUGGUGGGUAGUAGUUGAAGGAUUUAAGGGAUAUGGCUUGGUAGAAUGUAGUGGAGAUUGAUAAGUUGCACUUAAUUUUUCAUUUGAAGGUAUCUAACACUUAGAGUUGGGAAGAUGAUUAUGCAUUUUCAUGUUAGACAUUUAGGCCAGUUAACAAGGGCAACUGUGUAUCAUCAUAUGGUGAAUACUGUUUUGCUUUGAUCAAACUAGAGCUUAGCUUCUUCGCAAUGUUAAUUUAACAACAUUAUAUAAAGAUUUUAUGUUAACUCCUAUCAUAAUACUGAUGGCUUCGAAGUCGGAUAUGACACAGGAUGAGGGGUUGAAGAUCUGGUGUACUCCCCCCACCCUAUAUUGAAACUAAGUUGUUGAAGGUCUCUUUAGAUCCUCCUAGCUACGAGUUUUAGGAUUCCUUUACUCGUUAUGAGUUCAUUCUACACAGAGAACAAAACUAUUGACUUUUCAGUUCAGAGUCUGACUUCUUACUGUAUGUGAUGUAAUUCUUAAUUUCUUAUUGGUUUUACUUUUAUUUUACCAAGAUAAGCAAAGUUGACAAUUACAUCUUUUUCCUUCUCACAGCAAAAGGAGUUGAGAAUGUGGUAAUUAUAGGAUCAGGCCCUGCAGGAUACACAGCAGCAAUAUAUGCAGCCCGUGCCAAUUUGAAACCUGUAGUAUUUGAGGGGUACCAAGUGGGUGGUGUUCCCGGGGGACAGUUGAUGACUACAACUGAAGUGGAGAACUUUCCAGGAUUUCCUGAUGGGAUAAGCGGGCCUGAUUUGAUGGACAGGUAUUAAAAACAGAAGUAAAAACUUGUUAUAGCUCAUGUUACCUUGUAAUUUAUUGUACUUGUAUGGACCCUGAAGUUAACACAUAAUCUAAUUAUCUAGGAUGCGACGGCAAGCUGAACGUUGGGGAGCAGAAUUGUAUCAAGAAGAUGUUGAAGCUAUUGAUGUGAAAAAUAGCCCUUUUACUGUCCAAAGUAGUGAACGUAAGGUGAUAUGUUCAUUAACAGCAAGCUGAUUUACGAUUGCAUAGAUAUUAAUAUACCUGAACAUUAAGGCUUGUGUCUUUUCAACUUAAUUGGUUCUUUGAGUCCACUGUGAUGUGCUUCUUUUAUGGAAUUAAAUUAUUGCAAAUUAUUGUAUAUAUUUGGUAGCAGCUUUUAUUUGAAAACAAUUUGUUGAGUAUUUCACUCUUAAUGUGAGUCCUGAAAGUCCUAUAAAUUACAGACUAUCUACUGAAUUAUUACCAUUACUUUUGAUAUUGAUUUACAUGCAUUCUGAGUUCUGUCAUCAGUUUGUUGUCUAAUUGUAAUACCUUUCUAGUCAUGUUUCUUUGGAGGAAAAGUUUUUGUUAGUUACAUAAGGUUUUCUUGAUCACAUUAUAAUUCAGGUUAAGUGCCAUGCUGUCAUCUAUGCUACUGGGGCCACUGCAAAACGACUUAGGCUACCCCGAGAAGAUGAAUUUUGGAGCCGAGGAAUUAGUGCUUGUGCAAUUUGUGAUGGUGCAUCACCUCUCUUUAAGGGUCAAGUUCUUGGUGUCGUAGGUGGGGGGGAUACAGCUACGGAGGAAGCAUUAUACUUGACAAAAUAUGCUCGUCAUGUUCACCUACUUGUACGGCGAGACCAGCUAAGGGCUUCCAGAGCCAUGCAAGACAGGUGUGUCUAAUUAAUACUUCCCAGAGGCAUGCCUGUUAGUUGUUAAGGAACAGCUAACUCUGCAGUGUAUGUUAAAGUUUACAGUAAUUACCUCCUCCUAUACACUUCAUAAUGUAUUCCUUUUAGUUUCUCAACUCUCUCUCUCUCUCUCUCUCUCUCUCUCUCUCACACACACACACACACACACACACACAUGCACACAUAAUUCCGGUGGAAAGAUGGAAUUUAAACAAACUGUGUUAGAUUAGUCUUCUAAAUAUUUCGUUGAUGGCAAGGUUCUCUAUAGAUGAAGCUUUAUUUAACAUUAGGCAUAAUGUCUAUUACUUUCCAUCUUACGUUGAUUGAGGUCAUGCAUAUUGUAAAUUAUUGUAUUUUUUUCUAUUUGUAUUGGCUUCUUUGUUUAAUAAUGAAUUUUGUGUCUUCCUUUUUUUCUUUUUAUAUGCAUAGUUGAGUUGAUGGGUAAUCAGUCCUUUCUUGCUAUUUAGUGAUCUGUUAAGAAUUCUGCCUGUGCCAAUAAUUUGUGUUGGGUGUAACAAUAGUUUGUAGGCUUUUUGUUACCAAUCUGAAGUUUCUUUUGGCUGUAAUUCACUUGGAAAAUAUUUGGUAUUUUAAGGUGUCUUGUGCUUUGGAUUAUAGUAGUGAAAACUAUAUUUAUCCUAUGGACAUAACAUGUUUGAUCUUCUCGCUUAUGGGGAAGCCAUGCUCACUCUCUUUUUGCACAUGGAUUCAAAAUACUGUUUUGCAUACAAGUGUAGUAUUCUUAUGUUUGUCAUUAUGUCUGUAUUUCAUAUAGACUUCGAAAAAGCAAUUAUAUCAUGUUGUAGUACCAUUUUAGUGCAGGCAAAUGGAAGCAAAUUAUUCGGAAUGUGAAAUUUUACAUUAAUGGCCAAAUACUAGAAGCGUAUUUUAUUUGAGGUCUAAAUUAUCAUUCCAAUGUGGGCCAUGAGCUCAUGCUAUGAGCUUCUGUAUCUGGAUUCUGAUAUUUAAUUAGCAAAGAGCAAUUAUUUUUAUUUAAGUUUAUCUUAGAGGAGAAAUUGAAGAUUACCUUUUUCCUGGGCAUUUCUUUGCAUUCUCCAGACUCUAGGUAGUAGGUACUAGUUGUUUGACUCUUGAGUUUUUAUUAUGAGGAUAAACAAAUAGGAUUUUGUAUUAUAUAUCUUCUUUUGUUGUCUUCCUAAUCAGUCUGUAUUUAUGUGGAGUGUUUUAUUAGGAUAUCUUUAUGAUGGUGAGUUAUCUACUAAGUACUAAUGAACAUUUUUUAUGUGAGUUUUCAACUCCCCUGAAUGUUUGUUUAACAGGUUGAUUAUCACGAAUGUUUCAGAGUGUUUGACAAUCCCAAUGUCACCGUGCACUUCAAUACAGAGACUGUGGACAUUGUGAGCAAUACUAAAGGACAGAUGUCUGGCAUUUUAAUUCGAAAGAUUGAUACUGGGGAGGAAUCUGUGUUGGAGGCUAAAGGGCUAUUUUAUGGCAUAGGCCAUUCACCAAAUAGUGAACUGUUGAAAGGUCAAGUAAAACUUGACCAGUCUGGCUACAUACUUGUUGAGGAGGGUACUGCAAAAACUUCAGUUGUAGGUGUAUUUGCUGCUGGAGAUGUGCAGGUAACCUAUCGAGUGCCUUUCUGCAAGAUAGUCUACGAUUCUACAUUAAGAAGAAUAAUAGGGAGUAUUGGGAAUCAGAGCCUCAACCUGCUAUUAACAACAUAAUCUGUUAUUAAUAGAAAUAAAAGGAAAACUGUAGUAACUGUUUAGUUGGUUACUGUAUAUAGAGAGCUGUUAUAACUUAUAAGGCAUUUGUAGAGAGUAAUUGGAGGUUAUCCAUUGUUUUGGUUAAAAGAGGGAGAGAAGUCCAGUCUCAUACUGGGAGAGGAGAACCCACGUUCUACACUGCUAUUCACCUCUAUUCUUUUCACCUUGGUACCCAUUCAGAGAUUGUGUGCUUUAUAUAUAACGAUCCAUUACUGUAUCUGUACCUAAAUUAUGGUCCAGUUCUAUUGCGAUGCUACAUUGUCUACAAUAAUGUUAUACAACGUAUAUUAAGUUUAGGCAGUAGCUGCAAGAGUAGGAGGAUGUCAUUUGACCAACAUCUUAUAAAUAUAUAUCAUUUUUUAACAGUCACUGACAUAGCACAACGGCGUCAUUUGAUCCAUAUAACUAUUUUCUGAUGAGAUAAGGCUUUAUUAUUUGUUAAAAAAAUUUGAAAUGCCAUUUUUGGUGGCAGAAUUUUGACCAGUUCCCAUUAAAUUAAUUAUGAUAGCUGUUAAUAUGUAGAUGUAGCAUAUGUUUGAUUAUGAAUUAUGCAAAUUUAUUAUGAAGUUUAUUGUCUGAGUUUAUUUUGUGAUUUGCUAUUACCUUCUGUAUGGAAUAAAAAGUCACUGUGGUAGGCACCUUUAUAAAGUUUAUUUCUUAUACUCUCAUAGGACCAUGAGUGGAGGCAAGCCGUAACUGCUGCUGGAUCUGGAUGCAUUGCUGCUUUAUCAGUUGAGAGAUAUCUUGUUAGCAAUAAUCUUCUUAUAGAGUUCCAUCAGGUAUCAGAGUUCAAAGAGCUCCAAUUUUAUAUGCACUUAUUUUACUUCUUGUAUGUAUAACUAAAAUGAAUUGCAUAUCAUAUUGUCAGCUUACUAUGUUUUUUUAAUUCACGUUCUUAAUUAUUGCGCUUCACUCAGUAGAAGCAGAAUCGAUUUUAGCUGGAUUUGUUUGUAAAAUGUUUAUAAAUUGGACAAACAUACAAACCUUUAUAAAGAUAGUGUAUUGAAUUCUCAAAUCUACUGAGUUCCUUAAAAUUGUCAGUGGGAAAUGUUUGUAAGUAGUUCUCUAUUGGUUUUGGAGCUCAACUAAACUAUUGUCUUCGAGCAGUCUGCUGUAUUUCUCUUAUCCCAUUGACAUGCAAUGAAAUCUUAUUUAAUGACAUAGUGAUAGGUUGUGUGGGUGAUGUGCUGCAGAGGUUUACAGUGAAAGGAACAUAAAAACUUGAGUGUGCAUCAUUCAUUCUUAUAUUUUACUUUUUAAAAUCUUGCACAGACGACCUUUCUCGUUUAUAAAGCUAUUGACAAUAAUUCACAGUAAAUUAUUUUACCUAAAUAGGGAUCGUCUGAGGAAAUGUUGAUUAUUUACCUAGUGAAAUAGUGGGAAAUGGCUCUGGUUGUUUUGAUGGAUGUGGUCUGAUGAAGUCAUACACAUUUGGAUGCAAACCAAAGAGCACUUAUUGUAUUCGUACCUUAUUUAGUGCUUUUUCUAGUAGAUAAGCUCCAAUAAGCCCUUAUCCAAGCAGGCUCAUUACUAUUAGUGUUUUGAAUAUGCUUUUACUAAAAUCCUUGUUAUCUGCCGCUGUUCAGGAUCUUUCCAAGAGAAGGACAUUAAAGCAAAUAUGAAGAAAUGAUAUACCAACCUAUUAUACGUUUCUGUUUGGCCCUAUGUUUAAAGAAUAUGAAUGGCAUAAAUUUGUUGCUAGUAAACAAUAACAUACUAAUAAUAGGGAACUGUCAUUACAUUAAAUCAGUUGAUUAAUUCCCUAUUCAUGACAUGUCGUUAUAGUGUUGUUUGGUCUACGUAGCUGAUUGCGCCUAGUUGAAAGAGGAUUUCAAUGUUGUAGUUGAUUCACGCAGUAUAUUCCGAUACAAAUCUCAACCUUCCAAUUUUAUUUCCUGUUUCAGCCUAAAACUGAUGAGGUUAAGAAGGAACUAACAGACAGGGAUGUUCACGAGGGCUUUGACAUUUCACUUACAAAGCAUAAGGGACAGGUACGUCUUCCUUAUAGGUGCUUGUGCUAAUGGGAUUAAUUCUCAGCAUCUGUUAUGUUCAUAUAGUCUCUUUUUUAUUUAAUUCUUUGGUUUUAUUAUAAUAUAGGCUCUUAUUUGUGAUUUCCUCUUUACAGUAUGCUCUACGAAAAUUGUACCAUGAAAGUCCCAGGCUUAUAUGUGUAUUAUAUACGUCACCCACAUGUGGACCGUGUAGAACACUGAAGCCAAUUCUUAGUAAGGUAUGUGAAAAAGGGAGGUUUAAAGUUAUCUUAGUACUUGUUGAAUGAGAAAAAGACAAGAGGCACUAGUUGAAUCAGUGUGUUUCAACUACUCAGCAGGGUCAACUACUCAUGACAUUAUACGUAAGCACUUAGUAGGCAUGAAUAUACAAUGGUCUUGUGAUACUGAUAUGGUGGCAUGGUGCAGAACCUUUUUUUUUCAGUAAAUUAAAAAUGAAUAGCUACGCUGCAUCAUGCAUUGAGAUGUAUGGGACUAUGGGUCCAUCUACUGCUUGUUUUCUCGCUUUGGAAUGUAGUGGAAUAGAUCUACUUAGAUGUUAGGGUGUUCUCAAAAUCUCAAUAACAAUGUGUUAUGGACUAGAGCCGGCCCAGUCCGCAUUGGCCCACCUUGCCCGGCCAAACUGAGUAGAGUUUAGGGCCAGACUGCGUUUUGGGCCAGGAAUUUGGUCCGCAACACAAUACAUAACUCUUUGUACUUGACUGAAAUGAGUGCAUAUUACCAUGUAUUUGCAAUUUUACGUACAAGCAUGCUGUCAUGCCGUUUUGAAAUGAGUAAGCAUUGAUGUUGAACUGCUGCAUGGCAUAUGAAGUAAAUGAAACUACUUUCGCUUCCAUAUUUAUCAUUACUUUUUUUAACAUCUACCUUGGCAGGUGAUUGAUGAAUUUGAUCAGAAUGUACAUUUUGUCGAAAUUGAUAUAGAGGAAGAUCAAGAAGUAGCGGCAGCAGCUGGAAUCAUGGGCACUCCAUGUGUGCAGUUUUUUAAAAACAAGGAGAUGCUUAAGUGAGUCAUAUUUGAUCUAUUUCUCUAAUUCUCCUAUUUUUCAUGUACCAAAAUAUAAGAUUCAAGCAUAAGAUUGUUAUCAUAGUAUCCCUAAAAUAUGAACAUGAGCUGAAAAUGGAUAUCCUAAAGCUGCUCACUUCCAUCUUUAUGCUUAGUGACAGGCCUGCUUCAUGGAUAUUCUUGCUGGUUUUUGACCGCUGAUGAUUGUACACUGAUUUUGCAGGACUGUUUCAGGAGUCAAAAUGAAGAGAGAAUACAGAGAAUUCAUUGAAUCGAAUAAAUAAAAAAGUACAUAAAAACAUUGGAGGGUGAAACCCCAAUUCUGUGAUUCAAUUUUGUUUUCUUAUUGGCCAGCUGAAUAGCGCUGUCAAUUUUGACAACUAUUCUUUUAACUGAUUGCAACUUCAUAGAUUGUACAUGUAGAGAUACCAAUCACUGCUAUAAUUUUGAUUGUUCUACAUUAUAUUUUUCCUAUUUAAAUUACAGAAUCCCAACUAAGAACAUCUCAUUUACGACACCCAUCUUUUGUCAGCAUCCAAGCUGAAAUGACUGUCCAUAUUUAUUAUUUCUUGACAUUUUAAUUGAUAAGUCAUGGCAAAUUUAAUGUAACCUAUUGUCCACGUUUAUAUUAUACAUGUGUCAGCGAAAACUGCUUAACCCUUGUUUAAACAUUCUCUUCUUUCAAAACAUUGUUUUCUAUUAAAGAGAGAUGAUGCAACCGUGUAAUGGAGCAUGUUUGAGUUCAAAAGUUAAUAGAAGAGGAGGUAUUUCGGAUGAUCUAAUUUGAAGUCUAGUGAUCAACUUAGUUGAUCUGUGAUGGCUGAAUCAAUUGUUGCAUAAUCAAGUGACCAAUUUGGCCUUUACAGGAAGGGGAGAGAAUGUGAUUUUUGGUGAUUUGGGCUAUGUUUGGCAUGUCAUUUUAGCUUAUAGCUUAUUUGACUAGCUUAAAAGCUCUUUAAAAGUGUUUGGUAAAAGAGCUUAAUUCAGUAGCUUAAAACUUUUUUGAUAAGUUACCUCAGGUAGCUUAUAGCUUAAAGCUUAUUGAAUUUAGGCUAAAAAGCAUUUUUGGCCCCUGAUGUUUCAAGUUUGUGCAAAUUCUGCCCCUAUCUAUUUUUGUCGAUGUUUCUACCCCUCAUGUUUUCAAACAGUGCACCGUCUACCCCUCACGGAGGGGUAGACGGUGCACUGUUGAGGGGUAGACGGUGCACUGUUUGAAAACAUGAGGGGUAGACGAUGCACUGUUUGAAAACAUGAGGGGUAGAAACAUCGACAAAAAUAGAGUAAGGGCAGAAUUUGCACAAACUUGAAACAUCAGGGGCCAAAAAUGCUUUUUAGCCUUGAAUUUAUUCUAUUUUUUAUCCUUAUCAUUUUAAUAAAAUUCUAUAUAAGUAAUAUUAUAUUUUUUAGAUGAUAAAUAAAUUGAAUUAAAUUAAAAUAUUUAAAGUGGUAAUUAUUUUAAUAUCAUAUAUGUAUUGAUGUGUAAAUAAAAUAAUGUUAAAUGUAUAAAGAAUUAGAGAUUAAUUUCUAUACACCGACGGUGUAAAGUUUUUUUACACCGUCAACCAAUUAAAUUUUAAGAAUGUGAGAAAAUAUGUUUUUUUUUACUUGAUUUCAUUAAUUGACGUGACAAUCCUUACAAUAUGAUUGGUUGACGGUGUAAAAAACUUUACACUGUCAAUGCAUCAUUCUUUUUCUCAAAGAGAUUAUAAAGUAUGUCAUUUUUAUGUCAUUUUAUAAUUUGAGCUUGUUUAACAACUAGUUUUACUAAACACUUUUUUUCAAUGAGGUAGUUUUUCAGCUUUUUGUUUUCAGUUUUCAGCUAGCUUAUCAGCUUUUAGCUGACUUUUCAACUUUCAGCUAACUUAUCAGUUAGGCAUGCCAAACAUAACAUUUUCAUUUUUAUUAUAAUUGAUUAUAUUGCAAUUUUUUAUUUUUUUUAUUAGUAAAUAUUAUGUUAGUUGUUAAAUGCUAGUAAAUUAGUUCAUUCAGCAGAGUUUGAACCCUUACUCUUAAUCCGUCAAUACUCUUCAUUUCCCUAAGCUACCCAUCCCAUAUUCCCAUGUAUAAAAGGGAUGGCAAUAUACUAUUUUCUGUACUAAGAUCAGGUGAGAGAGUGUUUAAUAUUUUUUGAUAGGCAAUUAAAAUUAUAUUGAAAAGAAGUACAAAGGAUACUUCAAUCCAAUACAAGCAAAGAAAGAGAAAAAAUAAAACUGUUUACACUAACAUCUGCAGAAGCAAGCAAUACUUCUGCAACAAUUAUCCCAUCCCCUCCUUGAAGGAAGACUCUAAAGAAAAGACCUCAUUAAAACCUUACUAUGAAAAACCGUUUUGGGGAAAACCUAGUAAGAGAGUGUUUAAUGAAACAUCCUUCAAAACUUCUCGUGAAAUUUUAUAGAUAUGAUUCGAAAAUGAACUUACUGACCAAUUACUAACUAAAGUUACAAAUAAAGCCUUAGUUUAUGCUAAGCACUAAAUAACUAAAUCUUGAGCAUUGAGCACAAGCCUUAACUAAAAUGUUAAGAACAAGCAUUGAUCAAAAUGUUAGGCACAAGCCAUAAUAAUAAUCCAAUCACAAUGAUAGAAGCUAGCUAAAUCUGAUAUUGUUUCAAUGACACCCUAAUUUCAAAAUGAAUACAAAUAUGUUUUACAGUCUUUUCUUUUUUUAUUUUCCAAGGUAUCCUCACAGCAGUCUGUCAUGAGACUAACCUCCUAAGUCUUUGAGAUCAUGUUAAGUGAGUAGGCAUCUCCAACAAAUGUGUCUACAUACGCCCAUGAAUCAAAUCCUGAACUAGAUAUUUAAGGAGUCCAAUUAACUAUCUACUAAUUAUGCUACAUAUUGUUGGAACCUCACGGUCAUUCUAACUCACUUAUUUAUACUCCCUCUCUAGUUAUCUCCUACGACUAACUAUCUAUUAACCUCUAAUUAACCACUAACCGUGACUACCUAUCACAAGGCUGCACAAGCCUUGAUCAAAAUCAAGCAAUAGCCUGUAUUAAAAUAAAUAAAUCGGUGAGAUUACAUGGGGAAAGCAAACAAUAGCACGGAGCUUGGCGAAUUUCCAAGAUAAUCAAUACUUACACUUAAAUAUGUUUUGUUUUAAGAAAUAUUCAAAGGUGAACAUAAUUUUAAAAAAUAAAAUAUGUUUGACACGUCUAAUUUAAAAGCUAGAUCUUAACUCUUUGGUCAGCCCCUACCGCUUAGUGCGCUGACCGUGGGACGAGGAAUUAGUCUCACAGCUAUCGUCUAUGAGGAUACCUUGGUCAAGAAAAAAAACUAGAUUAAAGCUGAAAAAUUAAAUGAUUAAAAAUAAAUGUUUGGUAAAAUUAGUUGUUCACUAAAAUGAUUGGUGAACAUAAAAACAAGGCAAUGCAAACUACUACCGGUAACAAUAAAAAACUGGCACAAAAAAUGAGGUGUCCAACAGUGGUUUACAUGGUCUUGGAGUGUUAGUGUAUCAUUGUCGAGCCGUUAAAACAGUUAAAAUUGUAAAAUAACAUACAAAUGACAAACUAAUUUAUUUUAUAUUAAACAUUACUUUAUUUACAUUUUUUAUAUGAUAUUAAUAUUAAACUACAAAUGUCUGCAUCCGAUCCACUUAAUUUGCGAGCUAAUGAAUUCAAAAAUGAGCACAUAUUUUCCUUCUUAUAAUGUUGGGAUUCUCUUUUUAUAAUAAUUUUAGUAUCAAUUACGUCUUAAUUUAUACACAUAUAUAUACCGACACAUUCCUUCAGUAAGCCAACACUAUAUUCCUUGAUUUAUGGGAUGCCAAUAUACUACAGCCAGCAAUGAACUCACCCAUAAUAUGUACGUGCACUUAAUUCAGUCUUCAUGUAUAUAUGAACAUAAAUCUUACUCAAUACUGAUUCUUCUAAGGGUCAAAUCAGUUAGUGAUAAAUUAAAAAACUACAAUGAGUAUCUGCUUAUUGUCUUGAUUUAAUUCUGAUUGAAACAUUUUAAGAACAUCACAUACAGAAUCAGUGAUAUCCAUUAGGUGCAUGGCGGUGUGUUCCAUUUUUACACUAUUAAUGAAAAAAGGCAGGUGAAUUUAGCAUUUUAUAUAUAUAAAGAAACAACAAUUAAUAAAAUCUCUCAAUCACCUCGAGUCACAUCUUUCUCUUCCUCAUUUUAUUUUAUUCUCUCAUAUCAAUUUUUUACUAUAAAAGAUUGAAAUUAAAUUUACCCUAUAUACACUCUCAUAUGCGCCAUCCUUUGUGCAUCUCUUUUCUCCCUCUGAUCUUCUCCCUAGACUUUUGCUCUCUCUUUGUUGUGUUUAUAUAACAAUGGCUGACUACUGGGGGUAUCUCUUUGCUACAACAAAAAAUCCACCACCUCCCAUCAUCACCAACACCACACCACCUUCCUUGGCCAGUUUCACUUUCAAUGAAGAAGAAUAUAAUGAGGCAUUUUCUGAUGAGUAUCCUGAUUUGCUAAACCAGAUGCCCGCACCCUAUUGUUCCACCACCUACACCACUGCUAGUACUACCACUACUAGUAGUAAUGGUAUCAUUCUCAAUAGCAAUUCCACUGAUUUUGCAGGACAAAGCCACCAGCUUCUUGCUCCCCCUUCCAAGAAACGGAGACAACAUGUGCAGAAUCAACAAAAACAGUUUUUUCAAGUUCAAACAGGCGGCAAAGCAUCAGCAAAAAUAAGGUAAGAACUCGAAACUUUUCCUUUCAAAAUGGAUCUCAUUCGUUCAAAUUUCAUUGGUACUUUGAAACUUAAUCGAUUAGAACACAUUUGUGACUACAUUAAAUCAAAAUCCUUACAUUUCGUUUUACCUGUUGUGUAGAAAAAGCCUAGAGAAGAAAAUGGUGUUCUAUGUGACCAAAGAUCAACUCUCGUCUUCAGAUUCGUGGGCAUGGCGUAAAUAUGGACAAAAAUCCAUCAAGGGUACUCCAUAUCCAAGGUAACCUCUCAAUCAUGUUUAUAUCUUUUGAUUUGUUUUAUGAUUGGGAAAUACAUUUAUAUUUAUCAUAUAUAUACCAAUCCCUGCAUACAGGAACUAUUUCAGGUGUGUUGGAUAAAAGACAGUUCAGGUUUAUAUAGCGUAAGGUCUGCUUAUGAUUCACUACAAAUUGUUUCUCAACCUGUGGAGGGAAACGUCUUCAGUAAAUUAUGGAAAGCUAAGGCUCCUUCUAACUCCAUUGCUUUGGCCUGGACAAUUCUUCUUGUUAGAGUUCAAACAAAGGUAGACUUGGUACACAGAAAUGCUUUACCUGCUAAUUCAGGUGUGGAGUGUGGACUAUGUUUGAAUGAGGAGGAAACUUGCAGUCAUCUGUUUUUUGGGUGCCAAUUAAGCUGGAGGGUAUGGUCGAGAAUUUGUAGCUGGGUAAGUGUGUCUACUGUUUUGCAGCAAGAGCCUAUUGCCAACUUCUCACAUUUCUGUGUGCUCCAGGGAUCAGGUUCAUCCUUUUCUAAAGCUAUGGCUGUGAUCUGGAUUGCUACUGUGGGUGCAAUUUGGUACUAUAGAAAUGGAGUUGUUUUCAGGGGAGAAGCGGUGGAUGUUGACAGAGUUGUUGAAUUGAUACAAUUCAAGUCCUGGCUAUGGUUGAAGGUGAAAGGAAAAUGUACUUCUAUGUCUCAUUAUGAUUUUUACACACCCUGUACAUUGUAUGAAUUUGCUGAACUGAGCGUGGAGGGGAAAUGAGGUGCUGGUGGUCUGUUUUAGUUGGCUGUGUGUUUUAUUUGUGAUAAUACUAAUUUAGUAACAGUGUAGGUUGAUUUUUGGUGUGUCUAAUUUGAUUGUGAAAUAUAUUACAUCAUCUACAUGGUUGAUUUUGCUUACUGCUGCUUUUCCAAAUGGCAAUGGGAGUCUCGUGGCUGCAGAUCCUUUUAGUGAUAUUUGUAUCUUAUGUAAUAACAUGUGGAUAUGGGUACCCUGCUGCAGGGUGGCUAUGAGGACCAAUCUGAUAUGAUAAUGAGGAAUGUUGGUGGGAUACUUAUGAUUCUGGAAUUUUCUCUGCUGGAAGCUUGGAUGCUGUGGGGGGGGGCACUUCAUGACAGUGUUUAAAAGGAAUGUGGUUAAAAAAUGUUUUGUUCUGGAGGUUCUGUGUGGAGUGCUGAUGAGAAGUGGGGAGUGUUUUAAUUUAUUUUACUAGCUCAUUUAUUGGUUGCUGCCAGGAUUUUGGAUUGGCUAGAAGAAAAGACUUGAUGGCUAUGCUUUCUUUGAAGGAUGCAUAAAUGGGUUCAAAUUGGUGGUUUUAUUAUUUGUGGAUAGAUUGGUUUUGCUUGCUUGUGAAGGCAUGAGGAGUGAAGGGAAUUAUUUAGUCUGCAUUCUGGUUCAGAUCUUUUAUGGAGAAGCUAUUUCUUUGAUUGGAAAUAUUGAUCAAACAAUUAUCUGGGAUUCAUUCGUUCGUGAAUUAUCUUUUGUAUGGUUGGGCAGCUGAGUUUGGGGUGAGGUAUUAGAUUUCCUUGUAAACUUCCUUGAAAAUUUCCUCUUCACUUUUCAAAAUUGGUACUCUUUUUCCUUGCUAGGCUUUCCCAAGGGGGUUUUAUCCUAGUAAGGUUUUAAUGAGGCUUGUUUUGUUAAGUCUAUUUUCAAGGAGGUAUUAGGUGGGGUAGUUUCGACACUUUUAGGGUCUUUUGUACAUGUAAGUUUUAGCUUGUCUCUUCUUCUCUCCUUCUUUCUCUUUGUAUUGGGUUGAAGUACCCCUCGUACUUCUAUUCAAUAUAUUUCUUAUUGCCUAUAAAAAAAAAACAGCUCUAGUUGCGUGAAAGCGCGUUGAACGUAGCAAUGAGGAUAUGUUCAUGAUCACAUACACAGGAGAACACUCACAUUUCUAAACACUAACAUUUGAAAAGAAAUGAAGAAAUUACUCACCCCGUUAAAGUUUGUGAGAAUAACACUUAACUUCAUUCUUAUUUAAAAUACGUACCCCAAUAAUAAUCUCAGAAUUAUAUACACUUAGUUCAAUUCUUCUCUAAAAUCUCUGCUCCACCCCACCCCUUAAACACCUUCCAAAAAAUGCUAACAAAACAUUCCUUUAACUAAAAUAAAUUUAUUUAAAUAAAAAUAAUAAAUAGAAAAAUUUGUCUUCUAACAAAAUAAUAAAUAUAUUAUCAUAUAUAAAUAUUCUAAAUAUUUAUAAAUUAUCGAGAUCUUGGUGCGCUUCCUACUUACUCCCCUGUCAUAGUUGCAAUCUUGCAGCUCAUUCGCAUGGACUGGGGUCUCUCUGCUUCUAGUCCCUCGCAGUUGCAAUUUAGUGGCGGAAAAGCUAGCUCAUGGCUCUCAGUGCUCUUUCGCCUGCUUCGAUACUCGUCCUCCAGCAGUGCUAUCUUUUUUAGCCUCUGACAGAGGAAUUAGCUAGUUUUGAUGUUUUCCCUUUUUGUGGUUUUCUUAUAUUUCCUUAGCACCAAAAAAUAAAUUAUCUUAAAUUUAACUACGUAAAUUUAUUUAUAUUUAUUAUGGUAAAUAUACUUAUAAGGUAUAUUAACAUUUCUAUGAUAUUUUUAAAAGUAUAAGUGAAUAAAAAUAUUUUCAAAUUAAAUAUCCCUGUAGGUGCUAUGUUGGGCGGACUUUUCUUUGGGAUGUCGUUAUUCUGCUAUCUUUUUGGGUGGUUUUUUUCUCUUCCAAAAGGGCUUUUUUUUGGUAUAAACAUAUCGCAUCGGUCACUCUUUGUAUGUCGCUAGAUUUGGGACAUAGUCACAGUUAAGGCUCCUCAUCCCUCCCUAGAAUGUAUUGUGUGGGGAUCAAACCCGAGUGUACAUCCCACACACUCGGCAUGCGUUGCCAACUAAGCUACCCUUCUUAGAUCNNNNNNNNNNNNNNNNNNNNNNNNNNNNNNNNNNNNNNNNNNNNNNNNNNNNNNNNNNNNNNNNNNNNNNNNNNNNNNNNNNNNNNNNNNNNNNNNNNNNNNNNNNNNNNNNNNNNNNNNNNNNNNNNNNNNNNNNNNNNNNNNNNNNNNNNNNNNNNNNNNNNNNNNNNNNNNNNNNNNNNNNNNNNNNNNNNNNNNNNNNNNNNNNNNNNNNNNNNNNNNNNNNNNNNNNNNNNNNNNNNNNNNNNNNNNNNNNNNNNNNNNNNNNNNNNNNNNNNNNNNNNNNNNNNNNNNNNNNNNNNNNNNNNNNNNNNNNNNNNNNNNNNNNNNNNNNNNNNNNNNNNNNNNNNNNNNNNNNNNNNNNNNNNNNNNNNNNNNNNNNNNNNNNNNNNNNNNNNNNNNNNNNNNNNNNNNNNNNNNNNNNNNNNNNNNNNNNNNNNNNNNNNNNNNNNNNNNNNNNNNNNNNNNNNNNNNNNNNNNNNNNNNNNNNNNNNNNNNNNNNNNNNNNNNNNNNNNNNNNNNNNNNNNNNNNNNNNNNNNNNNNNNNNNNNNNNNNNNNNNNNNNNNNNNNNNNNNNNNNNNNNNNNNNNNNNNNNNNNNNNNNNNNNNNNNNNNNNNNNNNNNNNNNNNNNNNNNNNNNNNNNNNNNNNNNNNNNNNNNNNNNNNNNNNNNNNNNNNNNNNNNNNNNNNNNNNNNNNNNNNNNNNNNNNNNNNNNNNNNNNNNNNNNNNNNNNNNNNNNNNNNNNNNNNNNNNNNNNNNNNNNNNNNNNNNNNNNNNNNNNNNNNNNNNNNNNNNNNNNNNNNNNNNNNNNNNNNNNNNNNNNNNNNNNNNNNNNNNNNNNNNNNNNNNNNNNNNNNNNNNNNNNNNNNNNNNNNNNNNNNNNNNNNNNNNNNNNNNNNNNNNNNNNNNNNNNNNNNNNNNNNNNNNNNNNNNNNNNNNNNNNNNNNNNNNNNNNNNNNNNNNNNNNNNNNNNNNNNNNNNNNNNNNNNNNNNNNNNNNGAUCUAAUGUGUAUGGAGACUGAUAAGUAGGUGGAGCAGCAUUUCCAUAAUCGUACAUCCUGUAGCUAUUCUGACCUGCAUAAGAACCACUAGAUCGGUAACCGAGGGGACCCAAAUUGUCAACAGGGAGUGAGUAGUGCUGUUGUGAUAUUCCAGCUGGGCUUUGUGUGUGGGAGGUUCCAUAGGUUGCUGCCGCGUAAGGAUUAGCACUGGAACCAUCCAAUAUAGUCUGGCUGGGGUAGCUGAAUGGUCCAGAAAAUCUUGCACUUGGACUAGGCUGUAGAGAGGGUGGUGCCAGGUUCCUGCGACUAAAAGAUGGUCGGUAUGCAUUGGGUUUUGCUGAUUUGGCUGGACGGGAAGAGCUGGAACUGUUACCACGACCGCCACCUGAUCCGUAGGCUCGCUUUUUCGGAGGCCUAAUUACAGUUGAUGAACUCCUCUUCCUUUCAGCCUUAGUUCUCCCCAAAUGGGUAACCCGCUUCCUCAGUUUAUCAAGGCUGAAUUCGGAUUCAAGUUUGUGAUCUUCUACACAUCUGAUUAUAGCCCUUAUGGAAUUCAUCUCAAGAGUACUUGAUUCAUCCUGAAAAACAACAUAGAGAUGUCAGAAAGUGGUCCAUUGCAGUAUAUGGAACUGAAUUAGAAAGGUAGUUAUCCAGACCGUUGCAGCCUGACUGUUGUUUCCCUUCGCUAAUAUGGUAGCAACAUUCUUUUUGUAGUUUCGAACGUAAGACUUGAGCAGGUCGAUAGGAGGAAACUUCUCAGUCAAACCAGAUUCUGAAGCAAAAUAAACAGCUUCUAUCUCUUGGCCAUUUUUAACUAGUUCUUCUAUAAUUUCUGCACAGAACACUAGCUUAUAUCAGUAUUUGCAUUGGCCAGAAAAUGAAUCACAUAUCUAACAAAAUUCUGCCUCCUAUUGCAUCGAAAAGUGUAGAAGUAUUAUAAAAUGUGUCAAAUAAAAAGGAAUCACGGUAAAAACUGUGUGAUCACAAGCUGAAAUUUCUCUUACAAAUUGAUUUGAAGCAAUUUAUCCUUCCUACUUCAACUUUAUUAUCAAGAAAAUUUAAAUCCUAAGCACUAGCACAUCUACAAGAAUAAAUGUAAUGGGAAAGGGGAAUUUAUGCAAAUAUAAGACAUCAAGACAUUUAAUUAGGGGUGCAUAAAGGUAAUAAGAGACUUGUAGGAUGCUGUGGCCUGUUGACAUGUACCUAGUAGCAGUAAUGGUCAAUGCUUUUAAGUCGAUAAAAGCUAUAUCCAAAGAAAAGAAACAAACAACUUCUUUAAGAAAACAGUUUAAAUUUAGUAAAAAAAUCCCAUAGUCUUGCACUAAAUUUGAUCACCAGAACAAUCCCUUAGGUUUAUCAAAAUUACUUCCCUAUUUAAAUUGAAUAAUAUAUUAAAGGGAAUACAAACGUAAGGAGGAAUAAAAAAAGGGUAAAAUGCAAGGAAUCUCCUUCAACACCAUGUGCUGAAAACCCCACUAUGCUUCUACACUACUCAAUAUGUCUCAUUGAGCUAUCAGAAACAUGUGCGAAACAGCUUCUGUUAACUCUCCAUCCAAGCGUCUCAUACACUAAAGAGAAGGAAACUCAUGCAAGGGUACGUGAUUUGUGAACCCUAAAUGGCUAAACAAUAAUUUUUUCUCAGUCUAUAUCCACUAUGUCCCCCACCACCACUAUUUCCCUCACAAUUUUUUGCAGUACUUCAUUCCUACUUAGACUUCCCUUUUUCUUCACCCAUUCCCACCAUUACUCCGCAUAAAAUUUCAUGCCUUUUCAUUUCCAACCCUUUUUUGCUUCCAUCUUUAACACCACCUGCAGGCCAUGGACGGAGCCAACCUCCAACUUCUAUUGCCAGCACCACAAAAAGAAAGUCGUGCUCACAACACAAUUAAUGCCAUCAUAACUGGACACUACCAACUCAAACAAAAUGGAAGUUUACAGAGGAAGAGUUGCAGAAGGGUGUCCCCUCAGCUGAAAGAGGCAGAUUGGGACCUUCAGAAUGUGGUUUCAGUCAACUCUGAUAACAAGGGUGUUUUGUUAGUGACAUUGGUGGAGUGGUGGUGUGAAGGCUGUGAUUUUUGAAGGAGUUCAUUGCCAACUAAAUCAAGCUAGUCCUUCAGCUCAAAUUUUCCUAAGUUUUAGUUCCCUUUCUCUCUGUUUUACUGAUUUGGAUCAGUGACCUGGAAUAAAACAGUCUGAUAUGUGAAGACACAUUUAGAAGAGAGAAUUUGUUUGGCUUUGCAACCAUAACACUUGGGCUUGCAUAUAUAGUUUCAAGCAGGAUAAUUUUUUACAGGUUUGAUGUUUGAAAGAUUUAGCCCAUGAUUAUAAAAUAAAAACACAGGCAUGCAAAUAGAAGAUGGGGGUCAGUAAAAAUAGGAAACAAUAGUAGGUGGCAAAGCAAAUUUGUUCUAAAUGCAAAUGGGGCUGUUAGGACUUAGGAAUGACCUUCCUGUUAAGGUAGUCAAGGGAGAGUUAAGAGAUACUUUUCUGGGAGAUCAAGGGAAUGGCGUUAGGUAGUUUAAAAGCGCAGGGAGCUAGUGCAUAUAACUUAGAAGAGGCUGAUAAUUUUACAAGCACUUGUAAGCUGGUGAAAUAUAUAACACAAAGUAUCGCCUUUUCAAUUCUAGUCCUCAGGGCUCCUUGUUUUUAAGCCCAUAGUAUAUAAAUAUACGUAGAAAUUAACAGAAAAGUGCAAAAUGCAUCAAACUGACACCAGAUUUAAACGCAAAACAAUUGAGAGAUUCUUUUGAUUCUCUUUAUAAUGUAAAUGUAAACCAAUGACAAUGAGGGUUGAAGAUGGCCCUUCUCAGUAAAAGAGGACUAUAAACCGCAUGGGGUAAGCCUUAACUACAAGAUUCUAAUCCUUAGCCAAACUAGUGUUGCAGAAAGUAAAGUUGCAUCUUAAAAUGUUACUUGAGCAGACAAUACAUAAUUGAUUAAGUAAUGCAAAAAGAAUACGAACCUAUCAUCUCGUCGCCGAAAUCCAAUGAAGCAGCAAGCUUUGCCAUAUCCCUCCUGGUACCAAACUCCAUGACCAGCUUCCUCAAAUACUCCUCAUCGAACCUGGACCUCAACCCAAAGCACACCACCAUCUGCAUAAACAUCACCACCUCCGCCGCACCCUUCUCCGUAUCACUAUCCAUCUGCUCCUUCCACGAAUCCAAGAGACCCACAGCUCUCUCAACAACCCUUCUAGAGAACCCCGGCGAGUCCGAACUCAGAGCCUGAACCAGAAGCCCACAUGCCCACCUCUUAUCGGUGAGCCCAGACUUAGAACCCAUCAUUUUGCUAUUGAGAAAUUCCUCCACCGCGUCCAACACCAGCUUCGGCGGGUCCACCGCCUCCGCUAUCGCCGGCGCUAUCUCCGCCCUCAGCCACGACGACUCCUUCCGCUUGGAAACAAUGAACCGCAACAACGCGGAAGAGUCCAUCUUCCGCGAAAGGGAUUUCAACGUGGCGGGCAAUUCGGAGUCCGACGGAAGGGGGUUUCGGAACUCAGCGAUAGCGGCUUCCUUCUGCUCGUCGAUACGAGCGGCAGCGGCGGACUCGCGCUCCGGGAUGGAGGUCUCGUGGGUGUUGAGCGAUUCGAGGGUUUCAUUGUAGUGGGAAUCUAGGGUUUGGAACUUGGAUUCGAGGGAUUGGGUUUUCUCGGAGAGGGAAUGUUGGAGGGAGGAGAAGUGGGUGGAGAGGGUGGUGAAUAGGUCGGUGCAGGUGGCGAUGAUGCUCUUGUGGGUUUGCAGUUCCUGGAAGAAUUGUUCGACCCUGUCAGAGGGUGGUGUUGUUGCCAAUUUGGUCGCCAUUGUUGAGUCUCCGAGAGCAACACGAAGAACCCUAAUAAUCGUUUUCAGAACAAGGAAAAUAAUGCACUUGCGAAAACUUUUACACUUGGUGCAUAAAAAUGAAACUCUAGCUAUCUCUUUUUCUCUAUAUAUAAUUUUCUGAAAACUCAUUUCUAAAUAGAGAAAGUUAUAUUGUGUGAAUCUUUAAGCUGAGUUUAUUAUGUCUAGAUAUUUGUUGACAAGUCAAAAUAAUUUUAUUUUCAAUGGCAAAGGGAGGCUCUUAUUAAAAAGUUCUUGACAAAAUAUCGGAUGAUGAAUGGGCUUAUGGGCAAGAAUACAAUUAGGAAAAUUGGCAGUCCAAACAUCAUUCUCAUGAGUAAUGAGGGUUGAGCCAAACAAUGUGCCACACAAUUGGCAUCCUUACGCGCGCCAAUUCCAUCUCUGAUAGGGGAUCGAAUGCGGCGUCUUCAAAACCUCGCCACUUGAGUCGUAUGUGGGGGAAAUCACACGUGCGGUUCUUAGGAGCGAGAGUUAGUAGGAACCAUCCGAACAAAGGAAAAGGAGAUGGAGCUAAACAAAGAAACCAUAUCAGCAAAAUAUCGUAACACUAGCCCUAGAUAAGAAUUUUGUCUCUCCUUCCCAACAAUUGUCUUAAUCACAAACUUGUAGUCAAACUCUAACAUAAUUUGUGAGAAACACAACCUCAAAAGUCAGGUUUAUCCCAACUUGAAGUGCAACGCUUCGGCAACCGUAACCCCAACACUCAUCUCCUCCUUUUUAUUAGGAGCGCUAUAAGUACCUUCACAGUUCCAAACACCGGAGCCACACCCCCAUCUACCUAAAGUGUCAGCCACAUCCAAAUUGAUCUUAUGGGAGCCUAUCGUCGGAGGGAGUCAAUGCCAUUAUCAUAUGAACACAAGCACCAGCAAACCGAGUGCAACACAAGCGGCGUGAGUUGUUAAUAUAAUACUACCAAACCUCUCAUCAAAAUUAUGAUCUACAUCAUAAGAUUAAGAAAAACCUGAAAUAGAGGAGAAUCACACAUGCUUGCUCAACCAACAUUCACGAAACACAUGAUUCAAACACUACACAACUCCAUCACUUGUAGCGAAAAACACUCUUUUAAUAAAUUAAGAAAAUAAAGUUCCCUCACACACUUAAUACACAAUUGGAUAAUGGAAUAUAAGUUUAGGUGUUAUCAGCUUAAAUUCUUCAAGUUCUUUUUUUUUUAUAACUUAAAUUCUUCAAGUUCUUGAUUCUAUAUGUUACUUCAUUUUCUCCAUCUUGCGGAAAAGAAUAAAAUAAAGCAUAAAAGUGCAUAAAAAAGCAAACCGCGUCUAAAAGGAACCGAUGGAUGAGAAAGAAAGUAAAGGCAAAAGGAAUGGAGAUACUAACAAGUAACAAUAAUGAAUAAUCAUAUCUUAAUUAAUCUCUUCAAUAAUUACAUGGAGCAUAAAAAAUAAAAGAAAAUCCAGAAAUUCCAUCGACAACUAAAAAUUAAGAGAAAAUAAUCUCAAAUAAUAAUCGUUGAAAUAGAACAGAAAAAUGAAUCAAUGGAAGAUGUAUGUGAUCGCCAGAGCCACCAGCAAGAGGAGGUAAGCAAUUCCUUGAUCCAACGCGGCGCCAUCACUGGUAGGCGCAGGAGCAGGCGCGGAAACAGGAGAAAACGCGUGAGCACCGCCGAGAUCGGAGAUGGCGAAGAGAACCAAACUGAGAAUCGCGAAAGAGAAAAACCUCACUGAUUGCAACAUUUUUCCGGGAAAAUUAAUCGAACAGAGAGAAAAUCGAUCGAGGUAUGAGAGAGGAGAGAAGUGAAAAAUUGGUAGUUACUAGUAGAAUUUGUGAAGGAUUUGAAUUUGGUGAGUGAAGCGUGGAAGAGGUGUUAUUUAUAGGUGAAGCGAAGAAGAAGAGUCUCUUGUACUGAAAGGAAAUUUUCAACUAAUGGAAGGAAGGAAGGAAGGAAAGUGUGAGUUUCCAGAAACGCCACCAACGACGACUAAACUCGGAUUCCACACGCGUUGAUUAAUAAUUUUCAAUUUUUUUUAUUUAUCUUAUAAGAUUACUAAUUAUUGUUAUUUUACCAUGAAAAGAAAAGAUAUACUGUCAUGACCAAUUAAAUACCAUUAUUAUCUACAUAUACAAUUGAAUAUUCUAUCAUUUUGUAUCAAACACACACGUUUUACAUAUGAUCACUCACUAGCCGUUGUUGACAAUAUUAUUAUCAGCAACUGAUUUUGAAGAUAAUAACUAUAAUACUUACACAAUCUAUAUUUUCACGCUUUUUGUUUUUCACAUGAGAAAGAUAAUUUGCACGAAUUAAUCACCGAACCUCCUACAUUCAACCUAUGUGUUCCCUGACUUUUAUUACUUUGGCUAUCAUUCGGAGACAUUUUUCCUUAGUUUACAUGGAGGAUUCUUUAUAAAAUUACAAAUUGAAAGUGAUUUUUUUUGAACUAUUGGAAGUAAUUAAGAUAUGCAAUCAAUUUUAUAUUUAAGUGUGUACUUAUUGGUAGGGUUGUACCACGAGUUGUUGGUUCAAGCAAAGAACUAACCAAACUUGUUGGGUUGGGUUGGUUUUUCAUUAACUACAUUACAGUUCCAAACACGAACUAAUCCAGCCUGACUAAGUUUAAAGAAUGUGAAAAUGAAGUGAGAUUAAGUGUGUUAGAUUAUGAGUAAUGAGUGUUUGAAAAUGAAGAUCAUGAAGAUGGAGAACACUUGAGUAUUUUUUUUGUUACAAAGGGAAAGAAAAUUAGAAUAACAAACUACACUACAAUUGUAUUUUAAUACAAGGAUGAGAUCACAUUAGAGGGAUGAUGCUUCCAGAUGCGAUGCAAAAAACCAUCUCUCGACGCUUGCGAGCUAACAUGUUCGUCGCAUUAUUUGCAUCUUGAGAGAUAUGAACAACCGUAACAUGCCAAUCCCAAAGAAGCAUGACUCUGAUUUUGUAGAUUGUAUCCCUCUCCCAAUUACUACUCAUGUCAACAGUAGUUGAAGAACGCCCACCACUGUCAUACAAUCUAAGGCACGUACAAUAUUUCGGAAGCCAAGGUUCCACCCAUGCUGCAUACUUGUCUUGACUACUAGCAGCUCGACGAAAUUCCCAAAAUCUAGUUGUUUGUCGCACCCUUCAUGACUGCACUGUAACCAUUCGCGCCACACUCUAGUUCAAGCUUCAUGUUAGAUAUGCAAAACAUCUUUCAAAUUACGCUUGUUUUGUUAAAAACAUACAUCUACAACCCUAGAUAUCAGUGACAUUUUACUCGAGUAAUGAUACAUUCACACUUCAUUUUCUCUCGCAUCUCAUUUCAACAUACUUUUUUUUCUAUCUCUGUAAGCGUUUUCUGUCACCUUACCUAUAAUAUCACUAAUUUCUCUCAUUUCUCUUUUCUUAUUUAUCAAGGUGGAGGUGAAAAAGUGGUGUCCUCUUAUACCUUGCACAAAAUCCAGUGGCGGUUAGCCAUCCCCUUACCUUACCCGCCUCAUUAAGGCCCCUUUCAUUUUGUUCCGGUAUGGAACUAUCGAGCAAGGGCUAACCAGUUUGAGAGCGAUAGAGAAUGAACGAAACUAGAAAAAUGCCUGAAAAAUUAGAUCCCCCACCGCUUGGGUGGUGUCUGAUAUUUAUAGAUUGAGUUUCGGUCCGCCCGGACCAUGGGUUGCGUGACCCAUAUUUACAUUAGGCUGAUAAGCCCAACUAAUCAAUAAGCCCAUAUCAGACCACAAGCCCACAAGACACCGAGUCUUAAAAGCUUUAAGACGAAGUGUGUCUUUUUUCGAGCCCACAAGUAAUCAACUCACCCAACACUACACAAAGACUAACAAGUAAUUGACACGCCCAAAAUGUGCAAAGGAAAUAAUGGGCACACAGGCUCCAAAAUCAAAAUUUAAAAGGCAUAAAAGCUAAGUAGUCAUUCCUUUGUCAUUUCAACUUUUGCUGUUACUUCUUGAUCUUUGUGUAGCGUGUGCAAGUUGACCAAAAUCACCUCUUCGCAUCAAUCACAGCCUCACUGUCAUUAUCAUGAAUAAUUUUCUCUUCCCCUAAACCAUGAUUACAACCUGCUCUCAUAAUACCACAAGUAAUAAUGCACAAUAAUUUGAAACUUGAACAAAAUAAAAGUUGAAGACUUAAAUGUAAAUCAAUAACAUGGAACACACUUACUUCAUAUCGCUUGCACAUUCAUCUAUGCUCAGUGUAGUGUAUUCUUUGUAAGAUGAACUUUCCAUCAGAAUCAUUAUGUGUUUCUUUACUUUUCAUCGGAAUUGAUCCGCCUUCAUCAUUAUUCAAGCACAUCGCUUUCUUAUUUUACUGUAUAUAGUAAAAUACUCUUGAGUGAAUCUCAAAAUUUUAUAAAGUUUAAACUUAAUCAACUACUUUUGAAUCAUAAGGCCUUCGUGUAUAUAACUUAGUCAAAUUUUCAUUUUUGACAUAGUUAUUCAUGGAAAUCAAAGUCACGAUAUUUGAUUUCAUUAGUAUGCUCGCGUGGAGACUUGUGCUUAGUUUGGACAAGCUUAAAUCCAAUUUAAGACUGUGCUUAUGAAUUCGUGGUCGAAUGCUCUUGUUUUAAGAGACUUACUCUUUUCUCAAUUGUCUGACGUCGCCCAAUUGAUAGACCUUAGUUGAUAAGUUUCCGCUAUGGGUAAAAGAAAUAAGUAAAAUGAUACGCCCUUGAUCACUUUAAAAAGGUUAUGCCUCGUUAAAACUCUCCCGCCUGGGGUAGAGAAAAGAGUGCAUACCUGUUAUUCAUUUAUAGUUGAUGCCUCGUUAAAAACUCUCCCGCCUGGGGUAGAGAAAAGAGUGCAUACAAAUAAAAUGUUACGCCCUUGAACAUUUUAUAAAAGGUUAUGCCUCGUUAAAAACUCUCCCGCCUGGGGUAGAGAAAAGAGUUCACGCUUGUUUUUUUCUCUUUUUCUGUACAUAAUGUUGUGUGCUUUGACUGGUUUUAGUCAACUCAUCACCACUUUCGAAAGUCACCGGCACAAAUGUCAUAUCUUUGCGCCUUUGGGACUUGGGCAGGGCGGUCCAAUUUGCGUCGCCCUACUCGCUUUUCACGAUUCCAGACUUCAUGUUCUUUGAUACCAACCCACUUCUUGUUCACAUGCCUCCUCCUAGGAAGUGUCUGUCAUUCUCAUCUCCUAUUUUGAGCUAGUCCAUCAAAUAGGCAGUGCACAUACAAGCCCCCCUGGUACAUGAUUGAAGAUGUCUAUCAUCAAACCAGAAUGUUCAGACUUAAACAAACUACUCCCUUCCUGACUAUUGCAUACUCAGAUCAGUUCAUGCUGACUCAUACACAUAACAACUCAUGCAUAUGCAUCCUCACAAGCAAACAAAUAACCGAUCAAUUAUUUUCUUCAUUUGUAACAUGAAUUCAAUUUUGGUACUGCAUAUGUUAAAGCAGGCAAUUCUACAACCGGAUAUCACAGACAAGAUCAAUGCAGAAAAGAAUGAGAAUGCUGAUCAGAAGUCCGAAGCAAAUCAAUUCAGACAGAACAAAGACAACAGAAAACUGUAUAAACACAAGUUAUGAUGAGGAUGAAUGGAAGAAGAUUCCUGAGUCACAUUUGCUCAACAAUUCAGAGACCUCGAAAGUACUAUUCAAAAGCCACUGCUAAGGAGUUACAAAAAUCACAAACAAAAGUUAUUAUGUUUUGAAAACUCAGCAUCCUUCUCUUUGGUUUUUUGUCAGUUCUAUUUGAAGUCCUAAAGACAUAUAUAGCAAAGUCAGCAUUGAAGUUAUAAUUUCUUGAUAGCAAGUUGAUCAAAAGGAUUUGUAAAAGAAAACAUGACACGUCAACAGUCAUAUUUAGAACAAACGAAGGUUUAUAGACCUCAAAAGUACUAUUCAAGUAUACACAUAGCAUGAUUGGAGAUCGACUAUUUAUGAAUUCAAGAAAUCCAACAUCGUGAGGGCAAGUCACGCGAGGAAAUAACCACUCAAGAUAAAAUCAAACUUUGUAUUAAAGCAAAACACUUGGUGCUGAAGCCAAAACGAACUUUAGAAAACCAAUUUCCAGCCAGAUAUUCAUGAAGCACAAAAUGCUGCAUAAUUCUCCUAUGCAGAUAACUCUAAAAAGUUAUGGAAGCAUUGUCUCAGGCAAGAAAAGCUCAUGAAUAGGACCAUCAUCUUAUGAUAAAAAGUACAGCAAACAUAAUCCAACAUUAUCAAGCCUGCUAGCAUUUCUUCUACCAUUUUCAAAAAUGGAAAGUUGAACAGUAAAGAAAGUAAAAUUACACCAAUUCAUAUCACAAUUUCAGUCAUGAUACCCCAAUUUAAAUGAUAGAUAAGAAUUCACAUAUGCAAAAUUAGCAAAUCAAUCUAGUGGAAAGGAAAUAACACUGCCCUGGUACAUGAUGACAGAAUUGACAAGCAUUAUGGCAUUUGAAGAUGCAAAGUUUGGCUGAAGCAUUUCGUCGAACAGUUGGUGUGCUCCAACUCAUAAGCUCCUUCUUCUUAAUCCGCCAUGCCCCCCUCUUUCUCGUAUCAAACACAAAGAAAAGAAUGAUGGAAUUAAUUUCAAACCAUUGAUAAUCGGAGCACAAAUCUAAUGGAAACAAAACUGAAACAGAAAGUAGAAGAAAUAUUUGGAGGAACAAGGAUCUGUUUGAAUGGUCCUGAAUCAAUUUGGUUUUAUUGAACUCAUGGGCGAACAUGGACGAUUUCGACCCAGAGUGGCGGUUGAGAAAGCAUGAGCGGUUGCAAACUCCGAAAAUAGCAGUUGAGACAAAAUGGUCGUUUAAAUUCUGGUCGUGGCGGUUGAAAUUGAGUGGGCGGUUGCAACUCAAAAGUGGCGGUUGUGCAGUUCCAAAAUGAAUGAAUUGGGAUCUGUUGAUGGUUUUGAACCAGGUCCGGCUACAGAGGUGGUUCUCCAUCUUGAUUUCCAAACCCAAAUUGUGAUCCUCCAACCUUCAAUCUACUUGACCUCUGUCAUUUGUGAAGUUUAGGAACUGCAAAAUUGAAAAAGGAUUGAAAGAGAAGGAGCAUGGACGAUGGUAAAGGCGAACCACUUUGUUCAACCCUUCCACCGCCCACAAAACGCAUCGCCCGCGAGCACCAAGGAGUUUCGCCGCCUCCGUUCACGUCCUCUUCGUCGUCGACGCCCGCGAGCACCAAGGAGUUCCGCCGUUUUCUCUUCUCUGCUCUCCUUCACGUUUCCUCUAUCUGUUUCCUAAUGUUGUUUGAGUGGCGAAGCAGAUCCAUCAAACAUGAAUGAUUUGUGUCUACCAUGAACUCCCAUUCUCAUAGUGCGUUGAGCAAAUUUUUGGUUUGAUGUAACCAUCCUUUUGAAACUGACAUUUUGACAUAAAUUGAUUGCAUCGCUUUCCCUUCAAUUUCGUUCGCCCUCCUCUCUCAGAAGUAGAAAUCACAUAGCCUCUUGUUCGUGGUAGUAGGGAUUUGUUUUACAGAAGCCCCACGGUGGGCGCCAAUGUUCCGGUAUGGAACUAUCGAGCAAGGGCUAACCAGUUUGAGAGCGAUAGAGAAUGAACGAAACUAGAAAAAUGCCUGAAAAAUUAGAUCCCCCACCGCUUGGAUGGUGUCUGAUAUUUAUAGAUUGAGUUUCGGUCCGCCCGGACCAUGGGUUGCGUGACCCAUAUUUACAUUAGGCUGAUAAGCCCAACUAAUCAAUAAGCCCAUAUCAGACCACAUUUAUAUCCAAGUGAGCAAGCACAUGCCACGUAGGAGUAACUCUUGGAUUAGAGGCACGAAACAUGCUCACGUGGCAGCAUCAGAAACAGGUGGCUACAGAGAGUUGCUCUGUUUUCUUCUUUGGCCCACACACAUACACACACUAGCUUUGUUCAAUAGUGGCUUUGGACCAAUGCAGAGUGAUAUGAUAUGUCCAAAUUCCAAUUCCAAUUCCAAUAGAAAAACGCAAACACAAACCACUCUCAAGGAAUCUAUCUACAAAUUUAUGAGCCUUUAGUUUGAGCCAAACACUCAAGAUCACUAAAGAGGAAUAAGAAAGACAGAGAAGAAAUAGAAGAAAAAAUGUGUCAAGAGUUCCUUUUGUGGCGGUGCACAGAAUUAGAUGGCAUGUGUUCAGGGGGGCAGUAGUACUACCUAUGGUGGUUGAAGGGCAAGAACUGGCGGUGACAGCAGAGGCUAGCAGCGAAGGUGGAAGCUCCGGCGAGGUGGGAUCAAUGAAGCGGUGUGUGUGCUCGCCGUCACAGCAUCCAGGGUCAUUCCGGUGCCGGCAACAUCAAGCUAAGUAUGUGUGGCGCAACAACAGAACAGAGCAAUCAAGUAGAAAAAUUGAGGUGUGAUUCAAUAUAAGCAUGUACGUAUUAAAUCAUUUUUCUUCACCCUUUUGUGUUAAAUAAGCUAAUGCAAUCAAGGAUAUUAAGGUGUGGUUGCCGAAGCCUUGCGAAUUUGCGCAUUAAUGUAGAUUGAUACGGCCGCAAUUGUGAUUGACCGGUGUGAAUAAGGUGACUCCAAAAUCUGUUAUGAUGUUGUAAUUGUGGUUAUGAACUGCAAUUUGAAACAUAAAUGCAGUAUAAUUAUAGGAAUUAUAUCACAUGAACUUUUGUCAAGUAACUCAUCUUUCAUUUGAUCGAGUGCGCAAAUUGUAUAUGCGCAAGAAUUGUUUAUCCAUUUCUUUGACAUUGUUGUUAUUUGAUUGUUUCUGUGAGGAGAGAUAAGAAUGGAAUUGAGGAAAGUAUUUGUAGAAAUCUACACAUCCAACAUGAAAAUUAAGAGUCAUUUUACAUCUAAUUAAUGAUCUGAGCUAAUUGUCUGAGUUAAGCUGUACUACAUUAAACACAUAGGUACAACAUUAAGUACAGCUCAAAUUUUAAAUGGUGAGAUGAUGAAUUAAGAUAGCCGUAAGAUGAUGAAAAUUAUAGGAAAAUUGAAGAACAAAUUAAAAAUGAGAGGUGAAGAAAACUAAAUAAAUCAUGAGCUUUAGCCUUAAAAUGGGGGAUCAUUGCAUCUUCCUGGACUUUUUUCAACCAAAGAAUAUAUAUAAAUACUGCAUAUAUUGGACUCAUUCUUCUUUCUCACGAGAAUUAGCAUAAACUUAAUUUAUAAAGCAUCCAAUCUUUACCCUUCGUUUAUAUUCUUCCCCUUUUGUUUAUUCUUGGCAAUUGGCAUAUUCACUACCACCUUUUUUUUGUUGGUCACUCCCACCACCUAAAAUGACUUAAAUUGCAACAUUGGGCUGAAUUCAAGCAAAGGCCCAAGCCUUAAGUAUCCUCACAACAGGGCUGACCCGCAUGAUGCUAGGAGAAACUCGUUAGAGUUCUUGUGCUAGUUUUUUUUUUUUUCACAAUGUAUGGCAAGCCCCAACUUCUGGGAUAGGAAACUCCCAUACAAUCCCCAUAAAGGAGGUAACUACAUCCCACAGGGGGGGGGGGGGGGGGGGGGGGUUCAGCUAAAUGGAGAGUCCCAAAACUAACAGAAUGGCCUAAGUUAGCUAAAAAAUCAGCUACAAAGUUCCCCUCUCUUCUAGUGUGAGCGAAUCUCACUUCCCAUGGUUUCUCCUUCCAGCAUCGGAUUGCUCCAACAAAAGCAGCAUAAGGGUGGUGCGGUUCACACCCUUUGUCAAUGAGAGUUAUGGCCGUGGUAGAGUCGCUUUCGAUGAUUACCUUGAAGAGCCUCUUGUCCCAAGCAAUUGGGAGAGCCGUGAGGAUACCCCAGAAUUCUGCAACUAGAACGUUGGACGACCCCAAAUUUAUGCAGAAUCCCAUCAGCCUCCUCCGCAGGCUGCUAGGCUAUUUGGGUAUAUCACCGAACCAUCAACGUUGAAUUUGGUCCAUUCUAGAGGUGGGAACUCCCAACCAAUCAAGGUGUUAGUGUAAGCCGACUGCGCAGGCCGGCCUCUGGUUUCCUUGGUUCAUGGUGCUAAGGCCGGUUUCCAUAGCUAGAUGGUUAGCCAUCGCCAAGACGUUGCUGGGGUGAAAGGUUGGUUUUGAAAAACCACAAGGUUUCUGUUUUUCCAGAUGCUCCAUAACAGGAAGCCAAAGUGUUUUAGUCCAAAUGGACGUUCCUUGGAUGUUGCUCCCUAGUUUAGAUUAUAGUUAAGUGAAAGCACAUAAUUACUCCUUUUAAGUGCAUUACUUAACCUAAUUACCUAAGACCUAAGUCAUGAUUAAUCAGGGAGUAAAUGAGAUAAAGAAAUUAUGAUUUUUUAAUAAAUGUAAUGUAACUACAGACAAGAAAGUAACAAAUUAAAUACGUAGAUAUGCAAUGCAAUAAUGCCGGUCCAACGUAAGAAGAGAUUUAACUCAUUCAGAGGUAAUGACCAAUUUCGGAAACUGUUAUAUUACUUUAGUAAUAUUUUUAAUAAAAAAUAAUUUCAAAAGCUGAAAUGAUCGAGCUAAGACAAUGACUUAAUAUUUUUAAUAAAUAUUAUUUCAAAUUUCGAAAGCUAAAUUGAUCGAGAUAUUCGAAGCGAUAGUGAUACCAACGGAUGAUUGUCGUUUUUUUCUUUCUAAGGACAAGGAUGACAAAUUGACAAUAGCCCAACUGCAAAUAUUGAAAAAGGUGAUAAAAUAUGACGUAAAAGAAACAAUGUAUAGUGGAGAUAUUUAUCCUUAAAAUAUAAUGCAGUGGAUAAGAGUGACGACUUUCUGCAUAAGCUCACACCAUGUGAUCCCUAAAUUAUCAACGAUUUUCCUUCACAAAUACUACUUGAUUUGGAUUUGAGUGCAAAGUUAGGUAAAUGAUAACCAUUAAUAAAGCCAAUUGGCGCGAAUUUCGUCCAACGGUGUUAAAAAGUUGUAUGAAUUAAUAUUUAUAUAUAUAAGCUAUAUUUUUUCAAAUGUAAAAAAAUUAUAUAUAUAUAAGAUCUAAAUCCUUUUUAUCCUACUCGACUCAGAAGAUAAUUACUUUGGUGGAUAAUAUUUGUAAUUUGUGGCUUAAACAAAAUAAAUUUCAAUUUAUUUGGGUCCAAAUGUCAAUCAACUCUAUCCUCAUCCCUAAACGUUAGCCUCACAGAAUCAUUUGUUCAACCACAAAUUAAAUAAUUAGUAUUUAAAUAUGGUGAAUUAUUGGUCGUUUUUAAGUUGUAAUUUACCUGAAGAAUUUCAUCCUAUCAAUCCAGUUGUUUUUUUUUGAGCGUAUCAAUCCAGUUGUUGUAAUUACUAAUUAGGCUGAAGAAUUUCAUCCUAUCAAAUUUUUUUUUAACAUGGUUUGAAAUAAUAUUAAGAAAUAGACAUAGAAGCCAAUAAAUCAUCAAUUUCAUCCUAUCAAUCUAGUUGUGCAGUAACUAAUAAUAAAGUGUUAAAUAAGUGGAAAAUAAACUAGGCUUACGUAAAAAUGAAAAUACAAUUUUAAAUUAUAGAAAAAACAUUUACUAAAAAGAGAUACAGAGAUUUCGUGAAUGAGUAACAACAUUUGUAAAAAGUUAACUAGUUCCUGAAUGAUAACUCAAGUGUAAGAGUUAUGAGACAUAUGAGUUUGGAUGAGAAAGUUCAGAAAUCAAUAAUCGGAAGAAACAAUUUAAAGAGAAAAGAGAUUUUUUGCUAUAUAUUAUAUUCAAGAUAUAUAUAAUACAUGAUUACAUGACAAAGUAAGCAACUUUGGGCUUUGAUUAAUAAUCCAAGCAGGAUUAAUUAAAACAUAAAAGCCUUUUAAUUUAUACAAGCUAGUUUUGAUCAUGUGAUCAUCAUCGGAGCUUAAGAAAAGGAUCGAUUAACAUACACAUGGAGCAGGGGCUCACUAUGGAGAAACAGAAACCACAUGAUGAUGCUUGUUAUUGUUAGCAGGCAUGGAUUUGGAGCGUUUCAUCCAACUUGGUGGUGAUGAUGAUGAAUUAGAAGCCCCUGAACGAUGAAAACGGCACCGGAAAGAGCCUUCAUGUGUGGUUGGAGAACAGAGGCACUGUCCUUUGGGACAAGACAUCACUGAGCCUGACACGGUGUUGCUGCCACCGCUGUCACUUUUCGGUGAUGUUGAGACGGUGAGGUUAGCAUGAUGACCCUGCUGAAAUUGAGAAGCCAUGGUGAUUGAUGAAAUUGGUGAUGGAUGAAGCUGGAAGGACUAGAAGGUUCAAUUAUAUAGAGAAGAAAAGUGCACCUUCCUAGGCCACUCUAUUGUUUGUUUGGAUUAUAAAAUACCAUAUUGUUAUCCUGAUCAACAGUGAUCCUUUGAUCACUUAUUUGUCCACUUGUGUAACUGCAUCAUAGGAUAGGGUAGGACAUCAAAAUGAAUUUAUCAUUAUUCAAUUGCUAGGACCACCAUAUUAUUUACA
This 48189-nucleotide long non-coding RNA is filed under the name Lotus japonicus. Its description in RNAcentral is "long non-coding RNA (LJAP_LNC000077)". The record is from RNAcentral. Lineage: Eukaryota; Viridiplantae; Streptophyta; Magnoliopsida; Fabales; Fabaceae.